This 87913-nucleotide long non-coding RNA is filed under the name Populus trichocarpa (black cottonwood). Its description in RNAcentral is "long non-coding RNA (PTRI_LNC004360)". Lineage: Eukaryota; Viridiplantae; Streptophyta; Magnoliopsida; Malpighiales; Salicaceae. The record is from RNAcentral.
UGUGAGAAAAUGGAGGAGAUAAUAGGAACAACAGAUGAAGAAAGCAUCACCUCUAAUUCCAUCACGGAAUUCAUUCUCCCGAAGUUAAGAACUCUGGAAUUGUUGGGUUUACCAGAACUGAAAAGCAUUUGCAGUGCAAAACUGAUUUGCAAUGCUCUUGAAGAUAUUUGUGUAAUUGAUUGUAAGGAGCUGAAGAGGAUGCCAAUUUGUCUUCCGUUGCUUGAAAAUGGCCAGCCAUCUCCUCCCCCUUCUCUUAAAAAUAUCCUAGCAAGUCCAAGACAAUGGUGGGAGUCAGUAGUGGAGUGGGAGCAUCCUAACGCAAAGGAUGUCCUUCGUCCCUUUAUACCUUUUUUGUAACUCGGAUGAUAAAUAAUUAUAAUUUGAAGUUUGAUUAAUAUUAUAUUUUCAUCCUAUUGAGUUUCUCCGAGAUAAAAAUCCAAAAAAUAAAAAAAAUACUAUAUUGAUUUAUCAUUAAAGUAACCUAAUAAAAUAAUAGAUCUAUUCAGUAUUAUAAAUUAUCUUAUAUCAUUAACUAGCAAUAAAUUAUUUUUAAAAAAUAUAUAAUACAGAUUAAAAAUAAAAAGAGAGAGAAGACACAUUCUUGAAUUCUGGUCGAUCCAAAUCACAACAAACAUCGUAAACAAGUCAAAAGUAAAAAGUAUUCAUCGCCGGUGAAAUGGAAGCUGAAGACAUCGUAAAUUUCAGUGCUCUAUUGAGAGGGCCUAGAAAGUAAUCUUCUACCUCAGUGAAUUUGAGUACAACUACUGCACACAAGAUGUAGCACUCUUCCCCUUUCCAACCUUGCUUAAGAUGAAAGCAAAAAAAAAAUCACAAUUUUUUUUUGGAAAAAGAUAAAAAGUUAUUGGUCGACAACUUUCCGGCAACAAAAAUACGUUUUCUCACAAUGAAAAACUGGUGCAGAUUGGAUAGCAAAUCAAGUUUCAUAGUAGAUGUUGAAGUUUUCCACUGCACUGAAUCUCCCUCCGGUUGUUUGAAGCUAAAGCUUGAUUGCGUUCCUGGGAUUAAUGUAGUUUAUGGGUUCAGUAAUGUUUUUUCUAUUAAAUGGAUUAAUUGUUUGAUUAUAUUUAGAUAAUUUAUUUAUCUGUAUUAAUUUAAUUUCUUUUAAUAUAAUAUUGAUUUGAUAAAAAGAACUCCUAAAGCAUGUACGUGGCUGCCCAAAAAAUCCUAAAGUUUACUCAAUUAGAAAGGAUCAUGGUACUUAUUGCCAAGAUUGUUAUGCCUGCAAUUAAAACAUAAUUUGUUUUUGUACUCAGAAUUAUGUUGGAGUGCAUUUAAAAAUCUGUUUAUUUUAAAAAAAUAUUAAAUUAAUAUUUUAAUGUUAAAAAUAAUUUUUUUUUUUAUUACUGAAUCUCCACCCACCUUAAAUCCAUGUAUUAUGAAGAGGGAAAAAAAAGGGUUUUUUCUUCUCUUUUUCCUCAAUGGAACACAUGACAUCAAAAGCUAUAAGCAUUCUCCAUCUGCGUGUAUAUUCAGGGGCGGAGUUAGAAUUUUUUAAAUAAAAAGAUAAAUUACUAACAAAUAUUUGAUAUUAUAUGUUAUCCAUACAUGUGUUAUAUAUAGAAAUUAAUUUGAAAUAUAUAUACCAACUCAAGUCAAGCAAAAUUAAUUUAAGAAUACUUUUAAAAUGAAAAAAAUUAUAUUAUAAUUGUUCUCUUCGAGAUUUUAUAUUUUAAAACUACUUUGUAAUUAUUUUAUUUUUAAUCUCAUUAAAAAUAUAUUUCUCAAUAUAUACAAUAAAUUUUCAUUUAUUUAUUUCUAAAUCUUCUAAGGACUAGGAAAGUUCUUGGCAACAAUUCUAUGCUGACAUAUGAUACAUAAUAUCUAAAAUCAUAGCUUAAAAGGAUUGUCACAAAUUGAUGUUGUUCUUGCUGGCUUGUUGUUUUGUACAAGUGGAUUAAACAUAAAUAUUAAAUAUAUAUUUUUUAAUUUAUUUAUAAUUAUAUCCCUAAUUUUUUUGGUUGUCCUGUACUUUAUUUUUAAUCAUUAGUAAAUUCAUUAUCAUCAUUUUUCAUAUGAAAUUCAUAACAAAACACUUUUUAAUUCAUCAAAAUUCAUAUCAUAUAAUAUUACCCAUACACAUUAAUUCAACAAACCCAUAAAUUAUUAUAAACUCUAACAUUUUCAAUAACUAAUUAUAAAAAAAUAAAACUAAAAUUAGAUAAUGAAACAAAUAGAAAAGAUGAAGGAAAUUUUCCUAAAGUAUAAAGUAUAAGAGGUUACUUGCUUAACUAAUUAAUAGCUUAAGGCUUGAAGAGAAAUUUUAUAAAAGGAAAAGAGCUAGGAUCAAUAGUGAAAAAAGAACAAAGAGCUUGGAUCAAUUAGUUGCUAACAAAAAAAAAAAUUUAACCUUGUAAAGCUAUUGUAUUAAUAUUUUAAUAUAACAAACUGAUUACAAAUGACUAACUCCUAACUUACAAUUUUUUAUAAGCCGAUAGAGUUAUAUUUUUAUCCAGCUUGGACUUAUGCGAUCUCGGCUGCUAUUCUUAAAGUUUCAUUUUAUUUAAUGGAAGUUUUUGUUUAGACAACCUUUACUGAAAGGUGAAUGUAAAAUAGCAGCUAUGAGCAAGACGAGCUGCACAUCAAACCUAUACUAAAGCCUGAAAAGUUGAAUUUUAAUAUGAUGCAAAAGUUAAUAGCAACUAUGAGCAAGACGAACUGCACAUCGAACCUGUACUAAAGCUGGUAAAGUUGAAUUUCAAUAUGCUACAAAAGUUGUACAAGGAGGAGCUGAGAAAUCUUUCUAAGUAAUUAUUAUAGGCAAAAUUAUUAGAGAAGAAUAAGAAUUAUUUAACCAGAUAGAAAAUAUAGGGGGUUGCUCCCUCUUCCCCUGUAUGGUUCCGCCACUGUGUAUAUUAUACUAUAUGAAAAGCUACAAGCAUUCACGAUUUCUUGGGAUAGAAAGAAAGUUGGAAUAACUUAUAUUUGGAUUUUUCUUGGGAUUAAUUUCUUGCUCCAUCUGCGUUGCGGCCUAUGUUUGGAAUCCAAAAUUAUUAUUAUUUGUGCUUUGUACAUCAAAUAUAUAUAUAUAUAUAUAUAUAUAUAUAUAUAUAUAUAUUCUUUUAAGUUAUGUAACGUCAUUGUUAUUGUAGGAACAUUACUAUUAUUUAAGUAUUAUCGAAGUGUGAAACCCCUGGAAAUUUAUAAUUUAAAUAUGUAGAUGUGUAAACCCUCAUGUAAACGUAAGACUGAAAGUGGUAAUAUUUCAAUGAGUGAUGGAAACCAAGAUUAGAAAUAAUAGAUAAAUAAUGAUAUAUAAUGGAAGAGAUGACCUUCAUAAAAUGAAUUUUGGUUUAGAAUUCAUAAGGACAGAGAAACUGGUAACAUGUUUUGAUGGAUGAAAUAAUGAGAAAAAUGACAAAAUAUUUUUAGGACAUAAGUGAGUUAAUAAAGAAUAGUACAAUGAAAAGGGUAGGACUGAAGGUGCAAGCACCGCUUAAAAAUCAGUGAUGUUAUUUUGAAAUGAUAAUAAGCCGAUAAAUAAAUAAAGGUGGAAAUCCUAAAAUGAAUACAUUCCAAAAUAAUUAAACGACCUUAGAGGUUUAGAAUGAUAAUUGAUAUGAUUUUUUUUGUGAAGAUUGAACAAGAAAAAUCUAGAUUGUUUAUAAAAAGUUAUGAACUGACCAAUUUUACAUUAGAAAGCAGAGCUCUCAAUCCAAUCGUCGGAUCGGGAUGAAAUUUUGUAUGAAGUCUAUUAAUAUGUUUUCCCACCUUGGUUAAAUAUCUCAUUCCAAUCGGAGUUUGGUAAAGACUAGCAAUUUAAAUAGAAAUAAACCAGAUAGUUUACAUGAAAAAUAAAAUAAAAUACAUAAAAGCAUGAAAGAGGGACAAAAUUGUAAUUAUGAAAAAAGGUGCCUAUAAAAAUGCAAAGAGGCCACCAGUUUAAAGAAAAAAAAAGAAAAAAAAAGAAAAGAGAUAGAGAAAAGUGGAUAAGGGGAGAGAGCUGCAGAUUUUGGAGAAAAUCAAUAAUGCUCCGGUGGCCAUAUCUCUGGAAUCCACCGUUGAAUCAUGCUGAUUUUUGGAUAUAUGUUGUUCUCAUUACACUCCUCUACUAACUGAACGGAGCGAUUGGACAGAACAUAAUCCGUACAACUCUAUGAUAUGUAGUCUGACCGUUGGGUUUGAAACAAUAUUUAGAGGUUGAUGACUUAUUUCCUUUUGAAUCUAUUGCUAGUUUUGGCAAAAUGUAGUAAUCUUGAUUAAAUACAUGUUUUGAUGAAAUUAGAAUUGUGUGAGUGUAGGUUUUGUGGAAGAUGUAAUGGUAAAAUAUGUUCUUGUUAUUAGUAUUAUUAUAGAUUAAUUGUGUAUUCUUUAUAUGAGGGGAAGAAUGAUUAUUGUGUAAGAAUAGUAAGGAACAUUGCUAUAUGAACAUGUUGAUUGAAUAAAACAUGUUGAUUGAAUAGAAAGCUAACUUGUUGUUUGUGUGGAUAUAAAUGGGGUGGAACCAUGAAGAAAUUGAAAUGAAAGAAAUUUGGAAAAUAAAACAUAUUUAAAGCUAGCCAUAAGUGUUUUUAGUAAAUGUUUAGUUAAUGAAGGUUGUCAUGGAUCCCAAUUAGUAGGGUGAAAUUAUUGUUGUGAUAAUGAUCUGAGAAUUAAUUGUUAAGGUUUGCCGCAUAUGUUUAAUCGCACGAGGAGAAAGCAAAAGAAAAUGAAUAGUUCAUCAUUUUGUUGUAUUAAUAAUAAUAAUAAUAGGAGAAAUCUUAAAAGGAAUGAGUUUCCUUAUUUUGGUCUAAUCUUGCUAUAUUGUAGAGGUAGGGAAAUUGUUUGAAUGUUUUGCUUUAGAAUUGGUUUGAAUUUGUGAUUUAAUGAUGCCAAAUGACCUUGGAUGAUGUUUCUUUUGCAUGAAAAUAAGUUGGAAGUUGAAAAAGAUUUCCAAGGAAUGAAAAUCCUCGUUGUCCAAAAUUUUAGCUAUAAAGAAAGGGCUGUUGUGAUUGUUGAUUUUGAGCCUUAAAACAAAAUAAUUUGGAGUUGGUUUCUUCAUAAAAGUUGUAUCUCUAUAUUUAGCCUUUCAUAGAGAUAAAUCACGCCCAAAACUGAGUUUUACAACUUUAAUUAUGAUUAAGACACUAGAUAGUGUUCUGGGUUAGUUAAGCUUAAUUGAUCGGAAUUAGAAAAUUUUUAAUCGUUGCUUGGAAUUGCUGCUGAGUGAUGGUUUUGAUAACAAAAUUAUAAGAAUGAAUAUAAACAUUAAAAUGAGUAAGAGUAUGAGUUCUUAAAGAAAAUUCCUUGUGAUUAGUUUGAGAAUACUAGUUGAAUGAGAAUUAAAAGAAGAUGUGAUGUUGGUUGUAUUGUUGAUAAAAAUUGAAUCCCUGGUGGUACAGGGAAAGCUGUGAGGACUGGACAAUUGCACGGAGUGGCAGCACGUGCACCUAUUCUAGGUAGGUGAUUCAUCACCUUAUUUUGUAAUUAUUAGUUUUUCUUAAAUAUUUGUGUUGUGUGUUUAAUUGAUGUUAAAAGAAUGAAGCAAUGAAUAAGUUUAGUGAUUAUUACAAAUGAGAAUUAUUCGUAAUUUAAGAGAAAUUACCGAAAUUAUUUGGCUAACAAAAGAGGUUAGCCGGGUGCUGGGUAAUUCGUAUGGAAUUACCGGAUUGAUUGUGGCAACCAAGAUGGGUUAGCCAGAUUUCUUGGGUAAUUAAGAGAAUUACCGGGUUUAUUGGUUAACAAGGAAGUUAACUGGAUAUGGGGUAAUUCGUAUGGAAUUACCGGAUUGAUUGGCUAACAAAAGAGGUUAGCUGGAUGAUGGGUAAUUCUUAUGGAAUUACCGGAUUGAUUGGCUAACAAAAGAGGUUAGCUGGAUGAUGGGUAAUUCGUAUGGAAUUACCGGAUUGACUUUGGCAACCAAGAUGGGUUAGCCAGAUUUCUUGAACAAUUAAGAGAAUUACCGGGUUUAUUGGUUAACAAGAAAGUUAAUUGGAUAUAGGGUAAUUCGUAUGGAAUUACAGGAUUGAUUGACUAACAAAAGAAGUCAGCUGGAGGCUGAGUAAUUCGUAUGGAAUUACCAGAUGUAUUGGUAACCGAGGAAGGUUAACCAAAAGUGUGGGUAAUUAUAUAAAAUUACCAGAAUUAUUGGCAAUCGAAAUGAGUUAGCCGGAUAGUUAAGUUUUGAAAAGAUUAUGUAAAUUAAUUGAUUGAAGUUAAAAAUAGUAAAUUCUAAAUGUUAUGAGUAAAAUAAUUAAUAUAUGACGAACAUAUUGAGUAAAUUAAUUAAUGUGGUUAUUGGGUAAACACAAUGACUUGGAGAUUGGAGGGGAAUUGAUAGAUAAUUGGUUACCAUAGUGUUGGUGGCUAAGGAUACAUUACAAUGAUACUUAACACCAUAAUGAUGGUGGGUAAGGGUAUAAAUUGAUACUUGGCACUGUGAUGAGGGCGACCAAGGUUAUGUGAAGGAUGCUUAAUGACUGUAGUGUUGGUAACUAAGAUUGUAAUUUAUGUAAUUUAUUGUGGACAGAUAACAACACUCAAAUCUAAUACAUCAAAUAAUUGAACAAUUCAAUACACAUAUAAUCUAUCUUCAAUAGUAAAUAAAAUCAUUACAAUUUAAAAUACGAUUUAAUUAUUGAAUAAGAUAUAAUAAUAAAAUAGAUGUCGUCGUCACCUCACCCUAUGUAAGAGAUGACUGCUUUUGCACAAAACUCUUCACCUCACCGAUCAACAAAGAAAAUUCAGGCGAUUCAGGUAGGCAAUAAAACCCAUGAAAAACAUUUGGAUACUCUACCAAAUGUACUUCUUUCCCAGAUUUCUUCAGCCCCUCAUGGUACCUCUUCUGCCAAUCUUGCAAGGGAUCGAACCCUCCGACAAAGAGUAACGUAGCAGGGAACUUCACGCCUGAAAUAUCCACCGCAUUUGGUCCGAAAACAUUAACCACCGAGUGGUUUCGGUCCGAUCCCUCAGGCAGAAACGCCUUCCACAUCCAGUCUGUACGUUCCACUGAUAUUAAAGGAACCCCAACAAGCUUGAUUUCUGAUUCUGUCCUUUCUUCCCCUCCGAAAAAUGGCUGCAUUGCUAUGAGUCCCUUGAUCUUUAUGUUAGAAAAUGUGUGUUCACAAGCUUUGAGCACGACGUGAUGAGCCAAGUUACCCCCUGCACUAUCACCUGCUAUAAAACACCUUCCAAGAUCCAAAUUUGCUGGGAAAUUCUCAAAGGUCAUGCCAUCGAUGUAUUUCAACAUCAAAGCCAUCUUCGUACUGGCAUGGGUACUUGUACUCAGGAGCAAGCCGAUAGUUAACAGAGAUAACAACUGCAUUAAUUUCACGUGCAAGUCGCCGGCAGAGUACGUCAAAAGAUUUUGAGUUAGCCGCCAUGAAUGCGAAGCCCCCACCAUGAAAGAAUAUGAUCACAGGCAGAGCAUCCGUAGUGGCGGUGGAUGUGGGGGCGUAGAGGCGGAACCACAGGUUGCGGGUAGGGUCAAUAGUGUUGUCGAAAGAGGAGACCCCAUUGACUGGUUUGGCGGAAGCAGCGGCCUUGGGGUCGAAGAUGUUCAAUACGCUGCGGUUUACGGUGUGGUCGGAACGGCUGGCGGCGCGAAUCCCAAAGGAGUGGGCGGCGAGGAGGAGCCUGGUCUUCAAUGAGAGGCGAAGAGUUCUUGGUGUUUCUGCCAUUAUCAAUUUUGGGUUGAAUUGUAAAUGUUAAGAUAGUUUAUAUACUCACACGAAGAAAGUAAAAUAAAAUAAAAUUGAUAACAACAAUACAAAUUUAGUUUGGUUUUUAUAAAAAAAAUAAUCAAACUAAUUUUUUUUAGGAAAGAACAACAAAGAAAAAAAAUUGAUAAUGGCAGAAACACCAAGAACUCUUCGCCUCUCAUUGAUUUGGAUUUUUCUUGGGGUGGAAUUUCUUGCUCCAUUUGCGUUGCAGCCUAUGUUUUGCAUCCAAGAAUUAUUAUUAUUUGUGCUUUGUACAUCAANNNNNNNNNNNNNNNNNNNNNNNNNNNNNNNNNNNNNNNNNNNNNNNNNNNNNNNNNNNNNNNNNNNNNNNNNNNNNNNNNNNNNNNNNNNNNNNNNNNNNNNNNNNNNNNNNNNNNNNNNNNNNNNNNNNNNNNNNNNNNNNNNNNNNNNNNNNNNNNNNNNNNNNNNNNNNNNNNNNNNNNNNNNNNNNNNNNNNNNNNNNNNNNNNNNNNNNNNNNNNNNNNNNNNNNNNNNNNNNNNNNNNNNNNNNNNNNNNNNNNNNNNNNNNNNNNNNNNNNNNNNNNNNNNNNNNNNNNNNNNNNNNNNNNNNNNNNNNNNNNNNNNNNNNNNNNNNNNNNNNNNNNNNNNNNNNNNNNNNNNNNNNNNNNNNNNNNNNNNNNNNNNNNNNNNNNNNNNNNNNNNNNNNNNNNNNNNNNNNNNNNNNNNNNNNNNNNNNNNNNNNNNNNNNNNNNNNNNNNNNNNNNNNNNNNNNNNNNNNNNNNNNNNNNNNNNNNNNNNNNNNNNNNNNNNNNNNNNNNNNNNNNNNNNNNNNNNNNNNNNNNNNNNNNNNNNNNNNNNNNNNNNNNNNNNNNNNNNNNNNNNNNNNNNNNNNNNNNNNNNNNNNNNNNNNNNNNNNNNNNNNNNNNNNNNNNNNNNNNNNNNNNNNNNNNNNNNNNNNNNNNNNNNNNNNNNNNNNNNNNNNNNNNNNNNNNNNNNNNNNNNNNNNNNNNNNNNNNNNNNNNNNNNNNNNNNNNNNNNNNNNNNNNNNNNNNNNNNNNNNNNNNNNNNNNNNNNNNNNNNNNNNNNNNNNNNNNNNNNNNNNNNNNNNNNNNNNNNNNNNNNNNNNNNNNNNNNNNNNNNNNNNNNNNNNNNNNNNNNNNNNNNNNNNNNNNNNNNNNNNNNNNNNNNNNNNNNNNNNNNNNNNNNNNNNNNNNNNNNNNNNNNNNNNNNNNNNNNNNNNNNNNNNNNNNNNNNNNNNNNNNNNNNNNNNNNNNNNNNNNNNNNNNNNNNNNNNNNNNNNNNNNNNNNNNNNNNNNNNNNNNNNNNNNNNNNNNNNNNNNNNNNNNNNNNNNNNNNNNNNNNNNNNNNNNNNNNNNNNNNNNNNNNNNNNNNNNNNNNNNNNNNNNNNNNNNNNNNNNNNNNNNNNNNNNNNNNNNNNNNNNNNNNNNNNNNNNNNNNNNNNNNNNNNNNNNNNNNNNNNNNNNNNNNNNNNNNNNNNNNNNNNNNNNNNNNNNNNNNNNNNNNNNNNNNNNNNNNNNNNNNNNNNNNNNNNNNNNNNNNNNNNNNNNNNNNNNNNNNNNNNNNNNNNNNNNNNNNNNNNNNNNNNNNNNNNNNNNNNNNNNNNNNNNNNNNNNNNNNNNNNNNNNNNNNNNNNNNNNNNNNNNNNNNNNNNNNNNNNNNNNNNNNNNNNNNNNNNNNNNNNNNNNNNNNNNNNNNNNNNNNNNNNNNNNNNNNNNNNNNNNNNNNNNNNNNNNNNNNNNNNNNNNNNNNNNNNNNNNNNNNNNNNNNNNNNNNNNNNNNNNNNNNNNNNNNNNNNNNNNNNNNNNNNNNNNNNNNNNNNNNNNNNNNNNNNNNNNNNNNNNNNNNNNNNNNNNNNNNNNNNNNNNNNNNNNNNNNNNNNNNNNNNNNNNNNNNNNNNNNNNNNNNNNNNNNNNNNNNNNNNNNNNNNNNNNNNNNNNNNNNNNNNNNNNNNNNNNNNNNNNNNNNNNNNNNNNNNNNNNNNNNNNNNNNNNNNNNNNNNNNNNNNNNNNNNNNNNNNNNNNNNNNNNNNNNNNNNNNNNNNNNNNNNNNNNNNNNNNNNNNNNNNNNNNNNNNNNNNNNNNNNNNNNNNNNNNNNNNNNNNNNNNNNNNNNNNNNNNNNNNNNNNNNNNNNNNNNNNNNNNNNNNNNNNNNNNNNNNNNNNNNNNNNNNNNNNNNNNNNNNNNNNNNNNNNNNNNNNNNNNNNNNNNNNNNNNNNNNNNNNNNNNNNNNNNNNNNNNNNNNNNNNNNNNNNNNNNNNNNNNNNNNNNNNNNNNNNNNNNNNNNNNNNNNNNNNNNNNNNNNNNNNNNNNNNNNNNNNNNNNNNNNNNNNNNNNNNNNNNNNNNNNNNNNNNNNNNNNNNNNNNNNNNNNNNNNNNNNNNNNNNNNNNNNNNNNNNNNNNNNNNNNNNNNNNNNNNNNNNNNNNNNNNNNNNNNNNNNNNNNNNNNNNNNNNNNNNNNNNNNNNNNNNNNNNNNNNNNNNNNNNNNNNNNNNNNNNNNNNNNNNNNNNNNNNNNNNNNNNNNNNNNNNNNNNNNNNNNNNNNNNNNNNNNNNACCAUGCAUCAAGAGAGAAAAAUAGUGUUUUAUCUCAGAUGUUUCUAAACCUUUGAUGCAUUUUGUAAUUUUAGUCAUUGAUUGUUUUGUUUUCCAUUUUAUCAUCAUAGAUUGUGCGCGCUGACUGCUAUGGAGUUCUAACUCUGAUGCAGCAACUUGCUGGGUUGAACUGAGUUCUGUAUUUCCCAAUUAGCAGAGUGCAAUAAACAGCAUUUAGCUUUUUCACUAAUGAGAGGCACACCAACAUAUAUACAAAACUGGAACUCACAGAUUCAGAUCCAUAUCCAUGUCAUCCGCCUUUUGUUUUAAAGAAGAGUUGCCAGCGAGUGGAGAUAGAGACCCUUUUAAUAUCAAAAUAUAAAUUAGUAGUCUUUGGGGUUACUUAAAUUAAAUAUUAGCACAAAAACUAUUGUUAAAAUAUUUUUAUUCUUAAGAAUUUAUGCAAAACAAUUAGAAAACAAAUUCAGGGAUUAAGAACACAAUUAGAAAACUAAUUCAGGGAUCAAAUAUUUUUAUGAAUUAUAAAAUUGACUAUAAACUUAAAAUUCUUGAAUAUACAAUAUAAACUUCUUGAAUCAUAAGAUAAAAACUCAUAUAAAAUUAUAAUUUUGUAAUAAAUAUGAAUUCUUGGAUCACAUAAGCUUGAGACAUGGAUAAUGUUUGGAGCAUUUAAGACCGGACCUCGUUGACUUAAAUUUUAUUUUAUAUUUAUAAUAAGGAAAAGGCACCAUGGGGUUGAAACCUUUUUAUGCUCGGUUGCUGGCAUUUGGGACCAUGUAUCAAGAGAGAAAAAUAGUGUAUUAUCUCAGGUUUUUUCUAAGCCUUGGAUGCAUUUUUUUAAUUUUAAUCAUUGAUUGUUUUGUUUUCAAUUUUAUCUUCAUAGAUUGUGCUGACUGCUAUGUAGUUUUUACACUGAUGCAGCAGCUUGCUGGGUUGAACUGAGUUCUGUAUUUCCCAAUUAGCAGAGUGCAAUAAACAGCAUUUAGCUUUUUCGCUAAUGAGAAGCAUGCCAAGAUAUAUACAAAACUGGAACUCAUAGAUUCUGUAUAAUUUCUAAGCCAUAUCCAUGUCAUAGAGGCAAAAAAGCACUCACACUUUGCAGGAUUAUGCCUUACAAUAACCAUAUACGCCUUUUGUUUUAAAGAAGAAUUUAUGCUCAGAAGAACGUUGCUGCCACCUCGAAUCCGUACCCAUAACAAAGCGUGGGCAACGAAACUAGUUGUAAAACCAAAACGAAUAGGACGCUUACUGCUCAGGAAUCAUUGUGGAAAUACUAACUAGGAAAAGCAGUUUUUGUACCUUUUUAGUGUUGGGAAAUCCGAUCGGGGAUGUACUGAUAAUUGCUCAAAGGAGGGAGGGGAAGCACACUUGGACACAAUAUUUAACGUGGUUCGGCAAAACCGCCUACAUCCACGGGAGAAGUCAAUAUUAUUAGAGAUGGAUAGAGAAAGGGUUACAACACACAUAGAGGAGGAGGCUCACUUCACUCAAACUCAAUUCACUCAAACUCAACUCUCAUUGCUCUCACACACUGCUGCACAAGGCAGCAGGGCUGCUGCCCUUGGCAGCUACUCCCUCUUUCUCUUCUCACGUAUAUCUCUCUUGUUCUCUUCCACCCUCUCUUACUCUUUUGCUCUCUCACGUAUGCCUAUAAAUAGGCAAGUAUGGUGGCUUCUCUUCUUCAAAAAACAGCAGCUGCACAUGGGUUGAUACAUUUGUCAAUGGUGGGUGCAACUACCAUUGACAAAUGGUAACCCUACUCCUUAGGGUAGGUUGCCCAAUAAUGGCAAAUCCCAACAAUCACCCCCUUUGACAUUUAUAUGGGCAAUUGUCCUCUUGCUUCUUCAGCACAAACUUGUAUCUUGCAGCUCUUCCAAGCUUACCAUUCCGAGAGCGUCUGUGGCCAAGUUUACAGGUACUCGCCAAACCUUUCAAUCACCAGAGUCACCAAAGCACACCUUUUCUCACACAAAAGGAUCACUACAACCAGAUGGUCUGUCACUUCACAUCUGAAGAGUGUUAACGCUUGUCUCUGGGACACACUGCAUUCCCCUUCGAGCGUAUCAACCAUGCUCGGUCCGGAAUGAUUCAUCAAGCCUCACACCAAGGCUUAUAACACCCCCUCAAACGGAUAUUCCAAGUGCGACAAUCAUUAUCUGAGUAUCUCAAUAUGAUCACGAGCUCACCACUCUUCCAAGAGUCUACUCAUCCAGGAGUUGCGUCUGCCCUCUGUUCCACCCUAGGAACCACGCCUUACUUCUCCGUGAGUCUCUCGCUCUUAGUCUCAAGAGUCCAGGUAGCUUUCCACCUUUACCUAUGGGGGUAGCCCAUUAAAGGUUGAUCCAUAUAUGUCUUGAUACUUAUCAUAGCCACUUCAUUGGCUAUCCAUACACCUGUCCACUUGUAUCCAACCAUCACAUUGGCUUUGGGGUUGUUCUGAACUUGGGCUCCUAUCGUGGCCCAUACACCUUCUCUAAGGUGUCUUCGCCCGUUAUCAUGGGGCAGUCUGAACUGGGGCUCCGAUCAUGACCCUCACACCUUCUCCAAGGUGUCUUCGCCUUUCAUAGGCGGUCGCAUCCUCCUUCAGCUGAGAUGCUUCAAAGUGGCUCCAAAAAAGUUCUCUACCACCAUGUGCACUAUGGGAGAGAUAACUGCCACUGAUUACAUAGAAAAAGAAACUUGCGGUAUACUCCUCGCAAUCCUCCACCUCGAUUUCUAUGUUUGGAGCUUCUACGUCUUUCUGCUUGACAGUUCCACCUACACCAACUCUCUUUGGUGUCUUCGCCUUUCAUCAUAGGCGGUCGCCUUUUAUCACAGGCGUUUGCACCCCCUCAAUUAGGUGCCUCUGCAACAGCUCUCUUUCCAUCCUUGCAUGCAUUGGAAAGGUCUUCGCAUGUUGUUUUCAUCAAGAGCAUAAGAGACUUCCUGUUGUACAAACUUUAACAGUCUCUGCUCUGAGCUUCAUCUGAGAACACUUCUUCUCCUUGCACCUGUUGUCUCAUUACAGUACCUUGUUGGAUCCUACGGGUACCUCUGCACAAUCUCCGUGUGCCCUCGUGCAAUUUCUGUUCUCCAGAUUUCUCCCUAUUCCUUGCUUAUGUUUGACAGCAGCUCAUCCUGUCACAACACCUGUCCAAGUCAAAAUAGGGUGCCAAUCUUUAUCCCCUUGUUGUAUUUCUCUUCCAUUAUCAAGGUCUUCAUCAAUUCUCCCUUCGAGAAAUCACAGUCACCGAAUCUAACUUCUUUGGAGAAAUCACCACUUUAUCAGAUCCUUGAUCAUACGGAACCCAACUGUUCCCUUGUGUCGUCAUCCUGCUAGUCUUCAACCGUUUCAUUACAAACUGCUAUAUAUAUGAAAAUAGUACCGUAUGGAUAAUCCUUCCACUAAGCAAGUUCCCAGGAAAGAUUGGAGGGGUCACACUGGUCCCGCUUAAAACCCAACCUCCUAGACAGAACUUCUUAGGCCAUAUCUAUCUAUCGUACUGUCUUUCCGUAUAUACAACCAUUUGCUAGCUUUGUUGCGGCUUUCCUUUACAAGUGAUCUGGAAUAUACUGGUUUAAUACAUCAUUUCUCAACAUCUGGCGAGACUACCAGUUCUUAGAUUCGUCAAGAUUGGUCUUCAUCAAUUUCCACUCUUCACCUCAAAUCGUCCACAUGAUCGGGUGUCCAGAGUGUCCCAAUUUUUCCUUCCUUCAAGACAGUUAAAAUUCUUCCCACUUAGCAGUUCAGCACAUGUAAUUGGGUAAACAUGUGCACCUUCUUCCUCUUCAUCUCCAUCGACCACCAUGAUGACCUUCAGAUGCCUCCUGAUCGGGCAAUCUUUUUUGUUAAUUCACCACUGCCAUUUUUUGGUCUCAAAUCUCAACGAUCGGACCGUACCAUUGCAUCCGGAACGCUCAAAUUAGCUGGAAACAAGUCUGAAAUCGUCCAAAUCGCACUUCAGACGGCUAACAUUUGAUCAAAACAAUUCUGGCCUGAUCAACGGCUCAGAUUCAAUCUCAGACCCGGUUGCACCUAGGAUCAGCUACACUGGAUCCUGUCCCUCGGCUCUCGGCUCGGCUCGGCUCCAAUUCGGCUAGGCUCACUCGGCUCGGCUUGGCUCGACUCGAACUUGAUGACGUGGCUGCUGACUAGUCGUUGACUGGUCUAUGACGUGGCUGCUGACAUGGCAUGCCUACUGUGCAUGAUGACUUCACCAUUACAUCAGGAUGAUGUCAUCAUGGGCCAUGCUACUGUGCAUGAUGAUGUCACAAUUACAUCAUGCUAAUGUCAUCCCUCACAUGUCUACUGUUCAUGAUGACGUCACUUGUACGUCAUGCUGACGUCAUCCUUAUCCGAGUCAGCCACAUGGGUCGGGUCAACUGGUAUUCGGGUCGGGUCAACUCAUCCGGGUGAAGAAGACGCGUGGGGCGCGUCUGCGCGCGUGGACAGACGCCUUGCCGGAGAGUGAUGGAGAGUGCGGCCAUGUCCGACGUCCGAUUUUGACGCCGUUUUCACCGUUGGCUUCGUCGCUUCCUCCUCUACACAGUGGUAUGGUCAAAACACAAUUUUGACAACUUUCAUUUUUGAGCAAAAAUCAAACACCCCUUUAAACCAUCAGCUCUGAUACCAAUUGUUGGGAAUUCCGCCCGGGGAUGUACUGAUAAUUGCUCAAAGGAGGGAGGGGAAGCACACUUGGACACAAUAUUUAACGUGGUUCGGCAAAACCGCCUACAUCCACGGGAGAAGUCAAUAUUAUUAGAGAUGGAUAGAGAAAGGGUUACAACACACAUAGAGGAGGAGGCUCACUUCACUCAAACUCAAUUCACUCAAACUCAACUCUCAUUGCUCUCACACACUGCUGCACAAGGCAGCAGGGCUGCUGCCCUUGGCAGCUACUCCCUCUUUCUCUUCUCACGUAUAUCUCUCUUGUUCUCUUCCACCCUCUCUUACUCUUUUGCUCUCUCACGUAUGCCUAUAAAUAGGCAAGUAUGGUGGCUUCUCUUCUUCAAAAAACAGCAGCUGCACAUGGGUUGAUACAUUUGUCAAUGGUGGGUGCAACUACCAUUGACAAAUGGUAACCCUACUCCUUAGGGUAGGUUGCCCAAUAAUGGCAAAUCCCAACAUCUAGGAGCGAUCAAACUUGUGUUUCUGCCUGAUCUCUCAAGCUCAAGGUGUGAACCAAGUAGGUAUUCAUAAGUAAAAUUUCUUAAGUUGUAUAUAAAACGGUAGUUUCAGUAUCCCUAAGCACUUUUUUUUUCUUCUAAUGUUGUUCUUCGUUAAAUUGUAGGGAAUGGAAGUUGGAGUGGAUCAAAUAAUGACGGUCAAUACCUUGCAACAAUCCUUGAAAUUGAUGGGGAAGGAGUGAGAGGCAUUGGCGUCCAAGGACUGAAGAGAGUUUUUGUGUAGAAAUUCAUGGAUAAGAAGAUGACUGUAUAGAUCAAUAUACGACAACGGUUCUACCUUGAUUAUAAGACUCGUUACCAAGUCUUUAAAUUCACCACAAAGACAACAAAACACAUAGAGAUUGAAGUCUUCAAGGGACAAUAGCAGCCAAUUCAUCAAAUAACAAUUUGGCUUGCAGCAUGUAGAUACUUACCGAUGAGUCACCUUGCCAAAGAGCUUGGAAGGAACCAUGGAGUUGCAUGAUGUGAGAAUUGGACAGAGAUGCAAGGGCUUUCUCAAGAGUGUGCCAACAUAAUAUGAGAUAUGACAAUCUACCAUGAGAUGCAACACAUCUACAGAAAGAGAGGAGAGUAAUGCACUCAAAAUAAGUUGUUCAUGUUGCUUCCAACGAAGAAAAGAAGAGCUGAUUGUAGAGGAAGGACCAGCAGAACUGUAAAAAACAUGAGACAGAGGACACGACAUUGAGCCGUUAACGAAGUGAAAAACACCUUGACCAAGGAGAUAGGGCUUCAUCUGCAUUCGCCAAUAGAGAUAAUUUGUAUUAAUAAGUUUCAACAAAAUAACUUGGUGGGUAUUUGAUAAAACAACGAUAGCUGGAGUUUGUGUUCCUAUAAUGUGCAAAAAAACUGUAAAAACUUGCGAGGAGGAGUCAGAGACAUGCUCUGCAAGUGGAGGCUGCUGUUGUGGAGGAAAGACACCAUCGACAACAGCUUGUAGAUGUUUGGUUGGCUGGGCUGCACCACCAGUGGUGAGGGAGAAAUUGACGGCAGUUAAAGGUGAGCAAAAAAAUCAAAAAAACGAUUAAACAGAAAAAAAUAACCAAAAAAAAUCAAACCAUGAAAAAACCGAUUAGAAUAUUUAAAAAAUCUAUCAGUUCGGUAUCGGUUUAAUAAGCCUGAAACCGAGCCAAACCGAACAAAACCAAGCCGAACCGAAACCAAACCCAUUGGAAAUUACAAAAAAAAAAAACCCUAAAAAACAAUAUAGUUUUUGGUUUUUAAUAUAAAAUAACCGAACCGAACUGAAAAUGAGCCGGUUGAGUUUUGGUUUUUGUUCUAAAAUAACCGAACCGAAACCAGUCGGUUUGAACCAGUUUCGGUUUGAUUUUUUUUUAAAUUUGGUUUGGUUUUUUAGGUAAAAACCGAACAAAACCGAAAAUGAUCACCCCUAGCAACAGUAAAAUCCAUUUUGGAAAAACAGAAAGAAGGCCGGCUACAAGAGGGAGAGGGAGAGGAAAAAAAGAGUUUUGACGGCAGAAGACUCUAAUACCAUGUUGAGACAAUUAGGAGGCUUAAUUUAUUGAUUAGACAACCUUUUAUAUAUAUAUAUAUAUGGGGGACAAUAUACAAAAAUAAUAACGGAGGUUAUAAUACAAGAAUAUAACUACAAUAUUUUCUAUAUAGCAUGCUUACAAUAUUUCCAAUAUAUUUAUAUUAAUAAUCACUAUUUUGUUUUUUGGCUAAUGAUGUUCUUCGUUAAAUUUUUAGGGAAUGGAAGUUGGAGUGGAUCAGAUAUUGACGGUCAAUACUUUGCAACAAUCCCAACGUAGUACUUACAGCUCUUGAAGCUAAGCUUCAGGCUCUUACAUUUUCAGGUCAGCUUUUUCAAAGUUUCAACAAUGGGGUGGGUCCACACGUUAACUCAGUCAGCAAUUAGCUUCUGAUUCUUUUGUUGAAGAUUUUAAUUAUAUGCAGCGUUAGACAAAAGAAAAGCAAAUCAGAGGUGUAGAGCAACUUGACUGUAUCUUGUAAUAUAGUCCUUGGUAGGUAAAGUUUGUGGCUUCCUUCCUAGCAACUUCCUUCUUGUCAAACAAUACAAUAAUCUUUGCUACCGUAACAUUCUCUUCCAAAUCUCAUCUCAUUAUACCAUUGAUUUCCCGAUUUCCCUCAACAAAUUUCUUAAACCUUUCUGAUGAUCAGUGCUUCCUUUUCUGAUUGAAUCGAAUCAUCUGGAGCUAAACAUCUUGCAACUUCCUUGUUAUUUUUAAACCAUAUAUUCUUCUCUGUUCUUGUUUUUCUUCCUGAAUACUACUUAAGCAAACCAGCACUUGAAGAACAACUUGAAUCCAGGUAGAUUAUUAUACUCCAUCUUCUUCAUUUUGUUUUUCACAUGUAACUCUGGUUUGAAUCUUUCAAGUAAAACACAAGUUGUGGAAAUUCUAAUGAGAAACUUUGGAGUUAGGAUCAUCAACAGUUUCCAAAAAUAAAUAAUUUUAUCUUUCUCAGUUGUAACAAUUCAUGCCUUAAGUAGUGGCGGAGCUGAGAUUAUUUGAUAGGGGUCAAAACUAAUGUAACAUGGUAUAGGUUUUUACAUGUAAAGAAACUGAUAUAUAAAUGUAAAUUUAAUAUAAAAAAUAGAAUUAUUAGUUCUUAAAGAAGAAAAUUUACACUGAAUUAAAAUUGAGUAUGUGCUCUUUAAAGAACUUAAUUUGGCUAGAAAGAUCAUGUCUAAUUGUAUAUGAGACCUUGUGACAAUAAGGUAUAUGUGAAAAAAAUUGAUAAUUUUAACGGUUUUUUUAAAAACAAAACAUAAAAAAAUCCAAGUAUAAUCAAAAUAAACCCAUAAAAUAUAUGAAAUUAAUUAGAAAAAACAACAUUCACUAUAACAAGAAAUAAAAAAAAUGGUAAACUAGUAAAUCUAUAUAAAAAAAAAAAUAGCAGAAUUAUAUAUAUAUAUAUAUAUAUAUAUAAAUAAAAGAUUUUAAAUUUGGAUCACAAAUUACCUUGUUUUGAUAAAUAAUAAAUUAAUUGACAGCUUUGUUUUAUAGAGAAACGGUAAAGAAAUGUAAUUAAAUUAAAAAAAUUAUUUGUUUUUUAUUUAUUUAUAAGGAGAGAUAAUAUUAAAUUUAAAGAUAAAUAGUAAAAUAAUAAUUUAUUAUUAGAAAGCUCAUUAAUUGUUAUAUUUAAAUACUAAAAGAAAUUUAAAAUAUUUUGCAGGGGCCAGCCCCUGCUUGCCACCCAUUGGUUCCGCCUCUGCCUUAAGGAGUUCAUACUAAAUUGACCCAAAUUUAACCUUGAAUUCAUUGUUUUUCCUUCUUAGUUUCUUUGCUGUUUGUAACUUAUUAUUUUAGUUUCAACCUUCCUUUUCCAAUUAAUGUACUUCCAUUAAUUUUUAUUCAAUAUUUUGACCCUUUUUAUCUAUAGGACAAAAUGGGUAGAUCAGAUGAUCCGUUCUGGAAGGAAGUUGAAGAUAUGAAUGAUGGAAGCAUGAAAUGUAAGUUUUGUGGGCAUUUAUUUGCGAAUGGUACUUCCAUUUCGAGGAUCAAAUGGCAUUUUUCGGGAGAGAGAGGGCAUGGUGUUGGCAUUUGUGGUCAGGUGCCUAAAGAAGUUCAAGAAGCAGCCUUUCUAGCUAUGCGUGGUGGCUACAAAAGACAUAAAGGCAUAGCAAGUUUAAGCAAUGUUAAUGAUUAUGCCAUUUCCACCUGUCCACAAGAACAAGACAAUGCAGUACUUGGUAAUUUGGCACAAGGUGUUGGGCCUGAGAGAAUUCAUUCGCGUUUAGAAGCGGCAAAUGGCAUGGAAUACACUGGUGAAGGAUCUUUUCAGCAUGUUGACAGAAGUGUCUCUCCUUGGAGACUCAGAGUUGAUGCUCAUGAGAAUAGAGGAGAAGCAACACCAGGAACAGAUUUAGUGGAUCAAUUUGCUGAUGGUACUUGGGUUCAGAUACACUCUGCCCUUUCAAAGGAGCAGAAGCUGAAUGAAAUCUCUACCUAUUUAAUGCAGGAAGAUGAGGAUGUGGAGCGUCUGCAUGAUGGAUCUGAAACUAUACCGAGAACAGAACAAGUGCAGCAUCUGGAGAGAGGUAGCUCUUGUGAGAGGCCAUCAAUUAAUCAAGCUGAUGAGCCUCGAGGAGAUUCAUCCCAACCAACAGAUCCAUUGUGUCUUGACCAUGGAAGAUAUUAUAAUCAACUCUGUGCACCUCACUAAGCAAAGAUGUCAUUAUGUAUGAUGUGCAAAACAUGGUUAGAGAGAGGACAGACCAGUGGAGGAGGAGGGUGUGGAGAAUAGUGGAAGAUUAGUGCAACAUGGCACAGGAGCUAGAUCUUCUAGAUGUCUUAAAUACAACACAAGUGAGACUAGAGGAGUUCCAUUACCUACUAGCUCUACAAAGCCAGUGGGUCGAGCAUUUGAAGAGAAUAAGAAGUUGAUAUGGUCUUUGUUAGUGGAUGAUGAAGUCCCGACCAUUGGCAUUUAUGGGAUGGGGGGAGUUGGUAAAACAACAAUACUGCAACAUAUCCAUAAUGAGCUUCUACAAAAACCAGAUAUUUGUGAUCAUGUUUGGUGGGUGACUGUGUCUCAAGAUUUCAGCAUUAAUAGAUUGCAGAAUCUUAUUGCUAAACGUUUUCGUCUAGACCUUUCAAGCGAAGAUGAUGAUCUGUAUAGAGCUGCCAAAUUGUCAAAAGAACUAAUGAAAAAACAAAAAUGGAUUCUCAUUUUAGAUGAUUUGUGGAACAAUUUUGAGCUUGAUGAAGUGGGAAUUCCUGUCCCGUUGAAAGGAUGCAAACUGAUUAUGACAACUCGAUCAGAAACGGUUUGUCAUCGGAUGGCUUGCCACCGCAAAAUCAAGGUAAAGACAGUUUUUGAGGGAGAAGCUUGGACUUUGUUCAUGGAGAAACUUGGACGUCGCAUAGCAUUUUCACCAGAAGUGGAAGCAAUUGCGAAAGCUGUCGCAAGGGAAUGUGCUGGUUUGCCAUUGGGAAUUAUUACAGUCGCAAGAAGUUUGAGGGGAGUGGAUGACCUACCUGAGUGGAGAAAUACAUUGAAGAAAUUGAGAGAAUCAGAAUUUAGGGACAAGGAAGUAUUCAAGUUAUUGAGGUUUAGUUAUGAUCGGUUAGGUGAUUUAGCACUACAACAAUGUCUCUUGUACUUUGCAUUAUUUCCUGAAGAUUAUAUGAUUGAAAGGGAGGAGUUGAUAGGUUAUUUGAUCGACGAGGGAAUAAUUAAAGGAAAGAGGAGAAGGGAAGAUGCAUUUGAUGAGGGCCACACGAUGCUUAAUAGACUUGAAAAUGUCUGUCUAUUGGAAAGUGCUAGAGUAAAUUAUGAUGAUAAUAGACGUGUCAAGAUGCAUGACUUGAUUAGGGACAUGGCCAUCCAAAUACUGCUAGAGAACUCUCAAUACAUGGUUAAAGCAGGUGCACAAUUAAAAGAGUUGCCAGAUGCAGAGGAAUGGACGGAGAAUCUGACGAGAGUUUCAUUAAUGCAAAACGAGAUCGAAGAAAUUCCUUCCAGCCAUUCACCAAUGUGUCCAAAUCUGUCCACUCUAUUUCUAUGUUAUAAUAGAGGGUUAAGAUUUGUUGCAGAUUCAUUUUUCAAGCAAUUGCAUGGGCUCAUGGUCCUUGAUCUGUCUCGCACAGGUAUUAAAAAUUUGCCAGACUCUGUCUCUGAUUUGGUGAGUCUCAUUGCAUUAUUGCUCAAAGAGUGUGAGAAAUUAAGACAUGUUCCAUCAUUAAAGAAGCUCAGGGCACUGAAGAGGUUGGAUCUCUCUUGGACUACGCUUGAAAAGAUGCCGCAAGGAAUGGAAUGUCUAACCAACCUGAGGUAUCUUAGAAUGACUGGAUGUGGUGAAAAGGAGUUUCCUAGUGGGAUAUUACCAAAACUCUCUCACCUGCAAGUCUUUGUACUAGAAGAAUAUUAUCGUCCGAUAACAGUUAAAGUAAAGGAAGUAGUAUCCUUGAGAAAUUUGGAAACUUUGGAAUGCCAUUUCGAAGGUCUCUCUGACUUCGUGGAGUAUCUCAGAUCUCGGGAUGGGACCCAAUCAUUAAGCACAUACAAAAUUUUAGUAGGUAUGGUGGAAGCAGAUUUUUGGCAUCAUGGUUAUUAUUUUCCAAGUAAAACAGUUGGGUUGGGUAAUUUGAGUAUCAACAUAGAUAGAGAUAUUCAAGUCAAGUUCUUAAAUGACAUUCAAGAACUGGUUUGUAAAUGCAUCGAUGCAAGAAGUUUAUGUGAUGUUCUGUCAUUAGAGAAUGCACCUGAACUGGCGGUUAUCCAUAUUGUGAAUUGCGAUAGCAUGGAGAGCUUGGUUUCAUCUUCUUGGUUCUGCUCUGCUCCACCACCAUUGCCCUCAUAUAAUGGUUUGUUUUCUGGUCUUAAAGAGUUUUAUUGUUAUGGAUGUAAAAGUAUGAAGUUGUUGUUCCCACUUGUGUUGCUGCCAAACCUCGUAAACCUGGAAGUGAUUAAUGUUGGUGUUUGUGAGAAAAUGGAGGAGAUAAUAGGAACAACAGAUGAAGAAAGCAGCACCUCCAAUUCCAUCACAGAAUUAGAACUCCCAAAUUUAAUCACUCUGAGAUUGCAUAAAUUACCAGAACUGAAAAGCAUUUGUAGUGCAAAACUGACUUUCAAUUCCUUGAAGAUAUUUGUGUAAUGUAUUGUGAGAAGUUGAAGAGGAUGCCAAUUUGUCUUCCGUUGCUUGAAAAUGGCCAGCCAUCCCCUCCCUUUUUUCUUAGAAGAAUGGAGAUAUGUCCAGAAGAAUGGUGGGAAACAGUAGUGGAGUGGGAGCAUCCUAACGCAAAGGAUGUCCUUCGUCCUUUUGUGGAGUUUAAGUAGGAGGAGACUACACUGCCCUUAAUAUAAGAAUAGAGGGUGAGCAUCAUCCCCAAAGUUAAUAUGUAGAAUGGUUAAUUACUCCUUUAUAUAUUGUUAAUCCUUUCGUUGUAAUAAUAUGUAUCCUUCUGUAAGAAUACAAAUAGAUAGUAACCUUAAAUUUGCUCAUAUUCAAUAAUAUAUCAUUGUUUUAAUCAUUUUUGUUAAAAAUCAUGUGCAAAACAUAAUUAUUUUCGAUAUGAAUGAUGAAAAUAAUCCUUUAAAUCAACGGUUGGAUAUUAUUAUUAAUUAAUAUUGAAAUUACUUGCAUGAUGCUUUUGGAUUAAAGAUGCUCAAUGGGUGGAUUUGGGUCGGUUUGAAAUGGUAUUGCCAAUUCCAUAUUUCAACGAAAAAUCGAAGCCUAACAUGAAUUCAUAGAAAGAAAGAGCGUUUAUUAAUAUGAAAUAUUUCUUUUUUAUAUAGUGUGCUUACAAUUACAUAAAUAACAUUUUUCAUUUUUUUAUUUAUUUCAUUAUCUUUUUAAGACUAUUGAAUUGUCAUAUAUAUAUUUUUUUAACUCGACAGAUAAAUAAUUAUAAUUUGAAGUUUGAUUAAUAUUAUAUUUUCAUCCUAUUGAGUUUCUCCAAGAAGAAAAUCCAAAAUAUAAAAAAAAUACUAUAUUGAUUUAUCAUUAAAGUAACCUAAUAAAAUAAUAUAUCUAUUCACCAGUACAAAUCAUCUUAUAUCAUUAACUAGCAAUAAAUUAUUCUUUUCAAAUAUAUAAUACAGAUUAAAAAGAAAAAAAAAAAGGAGAGAGAAGACAAUUUAAAAAAAGAAUGAUAAUCGAAUUUUGGAAUUUUGGAAUUUUUAUAAGGAUAUAUUUAGAAUAAAAUUUCAUACCUCUAUCUAUUUUCCUCGUAUAAAAAUUCAUCCUAUUUUUCUAUAUUCGUCAAGAUUUUUUAAUCUGUAUUUUUAAGUUUUUUCUGUCUUUAUAGACAACAUAAAAAAACUAAAAGGAUUGGUUAAUCAAUUCCUCAAGAUUUUUUAAUUUGUAUUUUUAAGUUUUUUCUGUCUUUAUGAACAACAUUAAGUGGUUUUUUCUGUCAAUUUUAAAAAAAAUAUAUAUCAAAAUGAAGUUUUCUACUAGUGCCUGGUGGUUUUGUCUGAGUAAAAGGGAUAGAUGCUAAGUUAAGAGUUCAAGGAAGUGAGACAAAAAUUGGAAGGGACAAUUGUGUCGAUUGAAAUUCCGUUACUCCGAUGUUGAGUCCGGUGAAGCCGCCCUGNNNNNNNNNNNNNNNNNNNNNNNNNNNNNNNNNNNNNNNNNNNNNNNNNNNNNNNNNNNNNNNNNNNNNNNNNNNNNNNNNNNNNNNNNNNNNNNNNNNNNNNNNNNNNNNNNNNNNNNNNNNNNNNNNNNNNNNNNNNNNNNNNNNNNNNNNNNNNNNNNNNNNNNNNNNNNNNNNNNNNNNNNNNNNNNNNNNNNNNNNNNNNNNNNNNNNNNNNNNNNNNNNNNNNNNNNNNNNNNNNNNNNNNNNNNNNNNNNNNNNNNNNNNNNNNNNNNNNNNNNNNNNNNNNNNNNNNNNNNNNNNNNNNNNNNNNNNNNNNNNNNNNNNNNNNNNNNNNNNNNNNNNNNNNNNNNNNNNNNNNNNNNNNNNNNNNNNNNNNNNNNNNNNNNNNNNNNNNNNNNNNNNNNNNNNNNNNNNNNNNNNNNNNNNNNNNNNNNNNNNNNNNNNNNNNNNNNNNNNNNNNNNNNNNNNNNNNNNNNNNNNNNNNNNNNNNNNNNNNNNNNNNNNNNNNNNNNNNNNNNCUGAGCGUUUUAGACGACCAUGUGAUCGGAGAGAUUUGAUUCUCAGUAUAAUUGUUGGUAGCUUAUUUGUGAGCCAAGAAGUAUUAUUGAAUAAAAAUACUUUCAUUCUUUAUUGUCGGCUGAGAAGUGAAUUGAACAUUUAUUACCUGAGUUUUCUUCUCCAUUUUAUUGAAUAAAAAUGAUUUUUUUUUUCUGAUUUUAUUAAGUUUUUUUAUAAACCUGAUAAUUUGUCAGAUAAUUUUAGCAGAGUCAUUACCUAUGUAUGCUGGUCAAAAGUCAUUCCCAUCAAUAAGAUGGAGUAGCAUGAACAAUUUAUUUAUUUAUUUUUGGUUUCUGCUAACGAUUUAUUUCAUGAUUAAUAUCGAUUUAUUUCCACUUUCAUAGUAGCCUAGGUGUGUUUUUUCCGAAAUGGUUAUGAGCAUUUUUCCAAUCUGCUGGGGGUGAUGUUGGUGGGGUUGGGCUAGGAGCAUGGUUAUUUUAAUCUUGGGCUUUUGGCGAGGCUUCACGCUGCUACCUUUUUAGUUCAUGAAUUUGAGAUUAAAAAAAUCACCAAAAAGCUUGGAAAAAGAUAAAAAGUUAUUGAUUGAUAAUUUUUCAACAACAAAAAAAACACGAUCUUUGUAUUAAUGGAAAAAUCAUGUGCAGAUUGGAUAGCAAAUCAUAAAGGUGUGUUAGGGAUUCUGAUAGCAGUUAUAGUUUAAAGUAUUUUUUACUUAGAAAUACAUCAAAAUAAUAAUUUUUAAUUUUUUUAUUGAUAUAACACAUAAAAAUGAUCCGAAAAUAUAAUAAUAAUAAUUUUUAAUAAAAAAAUCAAAAUUUAUAAAUACAUAAUUUGCACAGUGGUACCGAACACAACUUUUAUAAUAGAUGUUGAAGUUUCCUACUGCACUGAAGCUCCCUCUCAUUGUUUGGAGCAAAUGCUUGAUUGCGUUCGUGGGGUUUCUACCCCCCGAAUAUGAAGUUAUUUCCUAAUUAAGGCUUUCUGCCCUCUCUCUAAUAAACUGAAAAACGGCAACAUUCAUUUUCUAGCCCAGCAGUGGUUCCUCUAGCCUUCUGCCUUCUGCUAUCUGCCUAGCUGUGAUAUAAAACAAUUUUAGUCCAUAUUUGAAGGAAUAGCAUCCACGAGGAAGUCCAAAAUAAUUAAAUGCGUAGGCCUCCUGUUUCUUCAAUCUUCUGCUGCUGUGAUUAUUAAAGCCUUGCCAAUAAUUACAGAUUAUAGCAUCCACGAGGAUGACGUUCCUUCAAUUUUUCUCUACAGUCAAUCUUUUUCCUUGACAAUAUUAUUGAUUCAACUUUCCAAAAUGUAUUCUUUAGCCACCACAAAGCUUCACACACACACACACGAGUGUGAAAGUUUAUACACUUCAAAGUAAAGUUAAAGAUAAGAGCAUAUAUAAUUAUUAAACCCCGUACGAUUUGUUUUAAAAAAACACAAAAUCUAAAAUUUAACUUGGAUUGGGUUUAUAAUUAAACCAAUAUUGAUUUGAUAAAAUUUGACCGAUUCAAUCAAACCUAGUUUAUAUCUGACUAGAUUAAUAAAAAAAAUGAAAUGAUAUUAUUUUAAUAAAAAUAAUUAAUUUGAAUUAACUUAAUAAAUAACUUAUAAUAUUAAAAAAUUAUCUUAAACCAAAAAAUUUAAACAGAUUUAAAAAUGUUAUAAUGUUACUUUCUAAGAAUUUAGUAAGGAUUUGGAGAACACCAGGCUAAGCUCCAAACACAUCGCCACCUGCAUGCUCUCCAGCAUAAUUCACGUUCCUUUUUCAACCAUCGAAUACCCCACAGCCUCCUCCUCCGGUUCUUGUCGAGAAGUGUAUGGAGCCUUGACAAAUAAAGGUUCUCUGAUCUGUUGAUUGGGUUUGGGUCUCAAGCGUUUGUGAGAUUACAAGAGCUUGGAUGUUAAAAAACUGGUCGUAAUUACUUGUCAGGAGUUCUGGCAGUUGAUAGUAAUAGAACAAAUUUAUUAUUUUCNNNNNNNNNNNNNNNNNNNNNNNNNNNNNNNNNNNNNNNNNNNNNNNNNNNNNNNNNNNNNNNNNNNNNNNNNNNNNNNNNNNNNNNNNNNNNNNNNNNNUGGGCGUCUUCCAGAAGCUUACAACUAAAUAUUAGUUAAGAGGAAGACAAUCUAGCCAUUCCGUCGAUAAAUUAGUGAGAUUGCCCCAAUCACGGGGAAGGCUUUGCCAAAUACUUCAUCUCAUGGAUUCUGAGUUCUUAGCUAUCAAAUGGCUUUCAAAACAGUUGAUUUUAAGUUUCAUUUCAAUAAAUGCCAGUACCAACAUUUGGAAGUGCUAUAACAUGGAGAGCUUGGUUUCGUCUUCUUGGCUCUGCUCUGCUCCACCAUCAUCUCCAUCUUAUCAUGGUAUAUUUCUAUUUUUAAAGAGUUUGAUCUGCGAUUCUCUCCAACAAAUUGGGAUAACAAAUUGUCAGAUGCUGAAAAGGCUGGCAAUUCAUCUUCCGUUGCUUGAAAAUGGCCAGCUAUCUCAUCCCCCUUCUCUUAGAGUGAUGGAGUACAUCCAAAAGAAUGGUGAGAGUCAGUGGUGGAAUGGGAGCAUCCUAAUGCUAAGGAUGUCCUUCGUCCCUUUAUUAUUUAAAUGAUGACUCUGCCCUUUAUCAUUCAUGUGCUAGGUUGGAAUCCUUAAACUGGAGAAGAGUCCACUAAUAUUUCCUCGCCAACCAAGAAGAUGAAGAAGACGAACUUUUCUAUGACGAAGCUGCAAUCAACUCUGUGCUUGAUGAAUCAAAGAGCAGAUCCAGAAACAUUACAAAAUGUAGGUAACAGGAUUACGUACAUGAUUUAAUUUGUAGAGGAAAAAAGAUUGAACUUCGCAUAAUUAAAUUGAUGUCGUUCUCUGAAACUUACAGAUCCUCUGUUUGUUAUAUUACGGUUUCUUAUGAAGUGUAAAUGGCUUCCUUACUUUAUCCGUAAGAGAGUUGGAGGGAGUUAACCUCCAUGAGAAAGUUAACCAAGGAGUGGAGGAAUGCCCUAGAGGACCGGAGACAAUCAAGAGUUCGGCAAGAUGCCAUGGAAGAAGAGGCAUUCCGGAUAUUGAGAUUUAGUUACACGCACUUUAAGGAUUCAGCAUAGCAACAAUGUUUGUUGUAUUGUUCAUUACUGUGAUGAAACGACUUUAGGGUACAUGACCGACAAUAUAAAAACAUCAUAUUUAUGUUAAUUUUUGGAACAUGUAUAUCAAAAAAUAAGUACAUGUAAAUUUUGCACAUCAUUUCAUAAUUUUUUUAAAUUAAUAAAAUCAAAUAAUACUUCAAAAUUUAUCAGAUAAAAUAAAACAUCAUAAUACUUGUUACAUUAAAUAAAAUUCAAUUUUGAAAUAAAAAUUUAAACUUAAAUAAAAUAUUAUAAUAGUCUAAAACAUCUAAUAAAAUAUUUUUAUUCUUAUAAAUUUUGUGAGAAACAAUAAAAAACUAAUUUAGGAAUUAAUUGAGUAAUUAUUAGUUCACAGAGGAUUUUAUUUUAUUUUAUUUUUAGUGACAGCUAAUUUCAUCAAACACCAAUUGCCUUGUUUUUGGAUCACAUAAGCUUAAGACCAGGCACGUGCUACACUACUAAUGCUGGGACACUGUCACGUUCUAACAAUAAUGUUCGAACCAUUUAAGAUUGGACCUACUUCACUUGAACUUUAUUUUAUAUUUAUAAUGAGGAAAAAGUAUGAUUGGGUUGAAAACCAUUUUAUGCUCGGUCGAAAGCUUUUGGACCAGGUUAUCAUGUGUUUGAUACUGUUAUAUAGAGUAUUUUUUAAAAAUAAUUUGUGUAGAUUUUGUUUUUAAUAUCAAUACAUCAAAAUCAUUAAAAACAACUAAAAAAUUAUUAAUUUAAUAUUUUUUAAAAACAAAUAUAAAUUUUAAAAAAAUAUUUAAAAGCAUAUGGACAUACCCAAACCGGUAAACAUCAAAAGCUACAUUGGUAUGUCUCUAUGAAUAUAUGAUAAUGGAGCCUUGUUUUGAAUAUUUAAAACUAGAAAGUAGCAUAGGCGUGAUUUUUAAAAUCUUGAUCCCUAGACUUUUUGCAUGUUUUAUUUUUUUAUUUUUAGUUAUGAUUCAAAAUUUUAUUUUAUUCAUUUUGAUCUAUGAUUUUGAGAUGAAAGAAAAAAGUCACCUGGAAAACUUGGAAAAAGAUAAAAAGUUAUUGGUCGACAAUUUUCCGGCAAUAAAAAAAUAGUAUUUUUUUUUUAUCCACUGGGAGUAUCCGAGUCAACUUGCGCGUACCUUAAAUAAUUCUCACGGAUUUUGAAGUUAAUGACCAAGUAAGUCUCCAGUGACUAUCAAUAUUGGCAACUAUAGGGCUCGAUGAAAUCACAAGAAAGAGUAAACCUCUUGGUCCCAAACUCUUACCACUGGAUCACUUACUAGAUGGUUAAAAAUACAGUAUCUUUGUAUCAAUGGAAAACUUGUGUGUGGAUUGGAUAGCAAAUCAAGCUUCAUAGUAGAUGUUAAAGUUUUCUACUGCACUGAAGCUCCCGAUCUGGUUGUUUGAAGCUAAUGCUUGAUGGCGUUCCUGGGGUUUUGAUGAGUCUAUGAAAGUGCAUUCUAAAUGCUCUGUCAUUGGAAUAAAAUGCUAAAAUGUGAAUAGAAAUAAUAGAAAUUAAAGGGUAUUUUUUAAUCGAGUUUCUAUUUAAUUUGAUAUACUAUCAAGCUUCAUAGGCGUGCUUUUUUCUUUUUAAUUUUGAUCCUUAAAGUUUUGUUUUUUUUUUUUAAUCCAAAACUUUAUUUUCUUGACUUUUUAAACAGCCUGGAUAAACUUAAAGUAAUGUUCUUUUUCUUAGAAACAGCUAGAUACACUUAAAGUAUUUUAAUCAUAACUUUCCACUCACAUAUCGGAUUGCUGUGAUUCUUGAUGCGUUGGAAAGGUAUCGUAAAGGGCUACAAAGUUAGUCUUUGAUGAAAAGGGAGGGCUGCCUGCUUUUGAAAAAGGGGGCUGCCUCCUCUGUAAAGGGGGCUAUUUGGCAUAAAGAAGACGUGUGGGAAUUGCACUAGAGAGAGGGGAAAAAAAAAAGCACAGAUGAGGAAAGGAAUGACUAAUACAGUGAUGGGUAACUAAAUUGUUCCGAUUUCCAAUUAUUCUAACUCUUUUGUUUUAUCAUUCUCAAUUUGUUGUUGAGAAGUAUUCUUCUCCGCAUUUAUGCAGUUUAUGGAUUCAGUCAUGUUUUUUCUAUUGAAUGGAUUAAUCUUUGGAUCAUUUAUUUACCUGUAUUGAUUUAAUUUCUUUGCUUUAAUAUUGCUCCUUAAAUACGUUGUCGUCAUUGGAUUUUCUUAAUAGGGAUAAUUAUUUAAAAGUAGUGAAUGAUUUUUCAAAAGGGUUAUAUUAAUUUGGUUUAAUGUUGAUUUAAUUAUCUAUAUACCUUUUAAGUGGGAAUUUUGGGAAUUCAACUUCGAAUUGAGUUAUUCAACAAAAUAAGAAUAAUUAAAAUAUCAAAUGUGUGCGCAAGGGAUUCUGACUAUCUACCUGCUGUUUGUAGGAUUUAAGUACUUUUUUCAUAAGUCACUUUGCUUUAUUUUAAUCUGCAUUUAAAAUUAAUUUUUGUUUUCUAUUAAAUCAUUUUAUAUUUUCUUUUAUUCUUUUAAUUUGCUUCAAUGUGGAAUCGACACUCCAAAGGUGUGCUACAAUUACCGUGUUAUUUUUAUUUUUGGGUGGAAUCAGGUUUCUACCACACAGAAUGUGAAAUUAUUUUCUCAAGGCUUUCUGCACUCUCUCUAAUGAACUAAAAAACGGCAACAUGCAUUUUCUAGCCCAGCAGUGGUUCCACUAGCCGGCAGGUAACAGUACGCUGGAGAUAUCUACUGCUGCUCAAAGUCCAAACAACAACGGUACUGCCAACAUUAUUAUGCCGCAAUCAAAAAAACAUAAUUUGUUUUUAUAUUUAAAAUUAUGUUUGAGUGUAUUUAAAAAUCUGUUUAUCUUGGAAAAUUCUGAAAUUGUUUGAUUUACCGGAACUGAAAAGUAUUUGCAGUGCAAAAAUUGAUUUACAAUUCUCUUAGAGAUAUUACUGUAAUGCAUUGUAAGAAGGUGAAGAGGAUGCCAAUUUGUCUUCUUUUUUAUCUCUCAAUGGAACACUCAUGACAUCAAAUAGAAUAACUUCAACAAAAACUAAAAAGGAAUAGAAAGCUUACGAAUAGUUAAGAGAGCGUAUUCUAAAAUUUAGUUUAUUGUUUACCUUAUAUUUUUUUGCAUCUUAUAUUUUUUAUUUUUUAUUUUUUAUUUUAACCUAAAAUUUUAUUUUGUUUACCUUUUAAUUCAUGAGUUUGAGAUGAAAGGAAAAAAGAAUCACACAAAAAAAACUUGGAAAAAGAUAAAAAGUUAUUGAUCGACAACUUUCCGGCAACAAAAACACAUACAGUAUCAAUGGAAAACUGGUGUGCAGAUUGGAUAGCAAAUCAAGCUUCAUAGUAGAUGUUGAAGUUUUCCACUGCAGUACUGAAUCUCCCUCUGGUUGUUUGAAGCUAAAGCUUGAUUGCGUUCCUGGGAUUUUGAUGAUGAGUCUCUAUGAAAGUGCAUUCUAUCAUUGGAAUAAAAUGCUAAAAUGUGAAUAAAAAUAAUAGAAAUUAAACAGACAAGUCAAGGCCCAGGAGUCGUGAAAUUCACUUUGAACCAGCCUCCACACACUUAAAGUAUCUUAAUCAUAACUUUCCACUCACAUAUCGGAUUGCUGUGAUUCUUGACGCGUUGGAAAGGUAUCUUGAAGGGCUACAAAUUAGCCUCUUAUGAGGAUUUCAGAAAAGGAACUCCUAAAGCAUGUACGUGGCUGCCAAAAAAAGGUCCUAAAAUACCAAAUGUGUGCAAGGAUUCCCGACGCUCUACUGUUUGUAGAAUUCCAGUAGUGCUUUCUCCAUGAGUCACUCUGCUUUAUUUUAAUUUGCAUUUAAAAUUAAAUUUUAUUCUCUAUUAAAUCAUUUACUGAAGUUCGGAGCUUUAAAGUGUAUGCCAUAUAUUUACAAUUAUAUAACAAAUUAAUUUUCAUUGUCUCGACAUUUUUCCUUGUUUCUAAUUCUUCACCUGCAUUUCCCAAGCAAUAUUUUAUAAUUAUUAGGGGAAUAACUAGUGAUAUAGUAUUAGUUAUUUUCUAGAUUCAUUUAAAAAAACAAAUGCAAAAAAAAUAUAAAAUUCAUGACUCAUAAAAAAUAAUAAGAAUAUUUUUAUCUUGAAUUUUUCUUUUUCUAGUUGUAUCUCUUUAUUUUUUAAAAAUAAAUAUAAAAAAUAAGUAAUAAAAUAUCAUUAAUUAAUCUAUAAACACUAUAAAAUUACUCUCGAAUUAUUUACCCUGGAAUUUGGAUGAUCUAUAAUUCAAAGCGGGCAUGCUGCAUUUCUUUGUUAGGGUUUUUGUCCUUUCUACUAAUUUAUCUAAAUAUAAGAUUUAGAAUCUUGAUGAAUGAAACUAGCAUUCUCGAUUUCUUGGGAUAGAAAGAACAAAAGUAUUAUUAAAAUUAAAAAAGAAAAAACUCCUCAGGCUUUUACCAUGUACCAGGAGAGAAAACACCAUAGAUUAAAAUAGUCUUUUAUCUCCUAUUUCUUUUUAAUCACUAAUUAUUUUAUUUUUAAUUUUAUCAUUAUAGAUUAUGUUGAUAGCGAUUUGAAACUGAUAACUUGUUUUAAUUAACUUGUCAUGGAGUUCUCAAGGUCUAAAAAAAAAAAACAUCAUUGAUUUUUGGUUUUAUAAUAUGAUCACUUCAUUUUUAUUAUGAUAAGUCACAGAUGGAUAACCUCAAACUCAGAGGAUUGCAAAAUCAAACUGCGAGGCCAAAUGCCCCAAAUCCUGUUUAUCAUGAUAAGUCAAAACAAUUAUAGAUAUAACUUAAGAUAUGAGGCAAAGAGUUAGGAGGGAGUAGUGGAGAUAGAAGACCUGAUAUUUGCCUCAUCAACUAGGCAGAGAGUAACGACAUACGCCCUUUUAAUAUCAAAAUCUAAAUUUAGUAGUCUUUGAGGUUACUUAAUUUAAAUAUUGGUACGUACGUAGCUUUUAUUUAUUUAUUCAUUUAUUUUUAAAUAUUGACCUUAAAAAAAAAUUGAAUUUGUAAUUCAACCAAAUAUCGUAAACAUGUUAAAAGUAUUCUUCUACCUAAAUGAAUUUCAGUAAAACUACUACACAGAAGAUGAGUUUUGGUUUCUAAACCUGAAACUGCCAUCAUAAGAACUAGCUAGAGAAGUUAGGAUGAGCUUUUCUUGUCAUUAUAUCACUUUUUUCUGCUAAGAUAAUGCUCUCUGUAUUCUCUGCUACUAUUGCUUAUAAUCUUCUUAUCUCUAGUAUCUUUUCUAACCCGUAUGAGAGAUGCUUUCUAAUUUUUUUCUUGGAUUGUGAAUUUGUUGAAUAGAGUUGACCUAAGAAUCCAGAAGUUAUUGGUGACAGAAAAUCUAGAUUUUUUUUAGGAAAAGUGAGUUCAACUGUUACAUUUUGUUUACAUUAUCUUGUUGCACUAAAUCAAGAAGUUUACUAGACUUAUUAUUUAAAUUUGCUUUAUGGAUGCUUAGCAUUUUAAAUGAUCAUGUGAUCGGAGUAAACAAUCAUGUGAUUGGAGAGAUUUGAUUCUCAUAUAAUUGAUUGUUGGCAGCUUAUUUAUGAGCCAAGAAGUAUUAUUGAAUAAAAAUGCUUUCAUUCUUUAUUGUCAGAUGGAAAGUGAGUUGAACAUUUAUUACUUGAGAUUUCCUCUCCAUUUUAUUUAAUUUAAGAAGCAUUUCAUGAUUUUUCUCUGACUUUAUUAAGUUUUUUCUAUAAACCUGAUAAUUUGUCGGAUAAUUUUAGCAGGAUUCAUUUACUUUCUAGCAUACCAUAGUUGUAAAACCUCCAGGCGUUCGUAACUCUUGAUUGGGUUAUCAAAAAAUUCUGAAAUUUUGCGUGGAGCCUUCUAAUAUGAUACCUUAGCUUGGGUUAAAAUUUCAGAAUUUUUAGAGAAAUUCGAAAAUUUGAUGAAAAAUCACAAUUCGACUAGUUUUACGUUAUUGGAUGUAAUUUUCAAUCCGACCAUCCGAUUGAGCUGAAAUUUUAUGAGGAACCUUAAAAUAUAUUGAAUAAAAUCUGGUUAAAAUUUUAAAAUGAAUGGAGCUCGGUAGUGCUAGAAAAAAAAAUAAUGACCGUCAAAGAGGAAAAAAUAUUCAUUAAGGGUAUAAUAGUAAUUUGCCAUUGAAAACAAAACAUAUAAGCUCUCCUUCUCUUCUAUUAACUGCCGAAUGGGCAGAAACAAAAAGGUGAAAAGAGAAACAGAGCAUAACGUGAGAGAAAGAGAGAAAAGUAAGGAAAAACAAUAAGGAAAUUGAGAAAAAUAACUUUAUAAGCUUGCAAGUUCAACCUAUAAAACACUAAAGCAAGUGAAGGAAGGAGGGAGGGUUUGAGAAGGGGAAUUCAGCUAACUUUGGAAGAGAAGAGAAAUUGGAAGAAAAACAAUAGGUAAGCAUGAGAAGUUUGGAUUUAAUGUUUGAUUUAGAUGUUUUCUUAAGCUUAUUUGACUAAGUUAGGAAGUAAUUUCAUAGAAUUUUACCUUAGUUUCCCUUAAACCCUAGAUUUUUGAACUUAGGGUUCUUAUAUGAAUUUGGGGGAAUUAGGAGGGGAAGGAAAAAUGAUGAAAUUGAAGUGGAAUAGAAUGAAAAUAUGUUGAAAUAAAAAGUAAAUGAAGAAAAAUUUGGGGGAGGAAAAAGAAACAUCACAUUCGGCCAAAUGAAGGAAAAAGUGGGAGAAUGAGUUUUGAUGGUAAGAAAGACUAAAUGAAGAGAUAGCAUUUAAAUUGAGAAAAUAAUAAUAAUAAUAAUAAUAAUAAUAAGUAAAUUCAAAUUAAAAGAGAAAUAAACUAGUUAAAAGAAAAUAUGAAGACAAGAUGUCUAGAUUGUGUUUGAAUAUAGUAUUUAGAUAAAAUGAAUAAUAUGAUGUGAGGGUAUAAAGAAUAGAAGAAUUAUUUGAUGGAGGAAUUAUGAACAUAGAGUAAGCAAAGAAGGAGGUUGUAUGUAAAAUAAUGAUGUUAUAUUUGAGAAUGAAUUUUUAUUAGAACAAAUUACAAAUAAAAAUAUUACGUGCUUUGUGUUUCGGCACGUAAGAAAAAUAUUGAUGGACUAAUGAUAUAAUGACACUUGAUUGAUUCAGGAGUUGUGUCUGGAGCUGGUUAUCAGACAGAAGGAGCUGGGUCAUCCCGAGCAGAAGGUAGGUGAUUCGUCACCUUAUUUUGUAAUUUUUAGUUUUCCUAAUAAUCCAUGUUGCUUAUUUAAUUGAUAUUAAACGAAUGGAGCAAAUGAAUAAAUUGAGUUAUGAUUAUGUGAAUUACCGGUAAAUUAUGUGAAAUUACCGGUUUUGUUGGUUAACAAAGAGGUUAACCGGAUAUGGGGUAAUUCGUAUGGAAUUACCGGAUUGUUUGGCUAAUAAAAGAGGUUAGCCGGAUGCUUGGUAAUUCAAAUGGAAUUACCGGAUUGAUUGGCUAAUAAAAAAGGUUAGCCGGAUGCUGGGUAAUUCGAAUGUAAUUACCGGAUUGAUUGGCUAACAAAAGAUAUUAGCCGGAUACUGGGUAAUUCAUAUGAAUUAGUGGAUUGAUUCUGGAAACCGAAAUGGGUUAGCCGGAUUUUUGGGUAAUCAAGAGAAUUACCGAGUUUAUUGGUUAACAAAGAGGUAACCAAAUAAGAAGUAAUUUAUAUGGAAUUACCAGAUUGAUUGGCUAACAAAAGAAGUUAGCCAGAUGAUGGGUAAUUCGAAUGGAAGUACUGGAUCUAUUGGUGACUGAGGAAGGAAACCAAAUUUCUGAGUAAUUAUAUGGAAGUGUUAGAUUUAUUUGGUAAUUAAGAUGAGUUAGCUGGAUUUGUAAAUUUUGAAAAGAUUAUGUAAAUUAAGGGAUUAAGUUAGAUUGAAGUAGAAGUAUUAAAUUUCAAAGGUUAAGAGUAAUUAAUUAAUAUUAGAAUAAUAUAGUGAGUAAGUUAAUUAAUGUUGUUAUUGUUGAAACAGGUACACCGCGAGGUGAUGUAGAUCGUUAGAUGUAGGAAUACUCCUGUUUAUGAAUCACUAUUUUGGAAUGUAAUAUUCAUGUCUUUACUUUGAGUGUAAAUCCUUUUGUGUUGUAAAAAUUAAGUAGAAGGUGUAAUAUGUAGUGGAUGUAUUAUAUAUAUGUAUAGUUGUUAGUAUGACCAAAUCAUUUUCAAAAUGAUAAGAUAAGAUUUAUUAUAAAUAUAAUAUGACUCUUAAUCUUAAUGUUGUAUUUAUAUAGUUUAAAGGCUUAUAUGUAGUUAGUUAGCAUUUAUUACGUUUAAUGAUGAAUUUGUUUAUCUUUUGAGUUGUUUUGGUAGUCCAUUUAUGUUGAUUUACUAAUUGAUAUUAUGAGACUUGCAUAUAUGAUAAUUAUAAAUAUUGAGUUAUGAUUUGAUGAAUGGAAUGUGAUCCAGGAUGAUUGGAUCAAGAUGGAAGUCGUAAUGACAUAUAAUAGAAGUGUUGUCGAUAACUUGGUACAACAAAAAUAGAGGAAACUCUGCCGAAAUUUUCAAAAAAAAAUCCUAUAAUUUUAGACAUAUUACCCAAUACUUGACAUUAGUAAAGAAAUGUUGGGAGAUUUCAUGAUAUUAUAAUUUGAGGGUGUUACAAUAGUAGCCUAGGUGUGUUUUUUCCGAAAUGAGCAUUUUUCCAAUCUGCUGUGGGUGAUGUUGGUGGGUUUGGGCUAGGAGCAUGGUUAUUUUUAAUCUUGGGCUUUUGGCUAGGCUUCACGCUGCUACCUUAUAUUUGGAAAAAUUUUGUUCAAUUUAAUUCAUUAAAAAUAAUAAAAAACAAUUCAAAAAUUAAAAAAAAUGAUUUGCACAUGUUACCGAACAAAACUUUUAUAAUAGAUGUUGAAGUUUCCUACUGCACUAAAGCUCCCUCUUAUUAUUUGAAGCUAAUGCUUGAUUGCUUUCGUGGGGUUUCUACCCCCAGAAUAUGAAGUUAUUCUCUAAUUAAGGCUUUCUGCCCCACUCUCUAAUAAACUGAAAAACGACAACAAACUUUUUCUAGCCCAGCAGUGGUUCCACUAGCCUUCUGCUAUCUGCCUAGUUGUGAUAUAAAACAAUUUGAGUCCAUAUUUGAAGGAAAAGCAUAUCUAUAAUUGGCUUCUACAAAGAUUAGAUAUUUGUGAUCUUAUUUAGUGGGUGAUUAUGUCUCAAGAUUUCAGCAUUAAUAGAUUGCAAAAUUUAUUGCUAAACGUCUUCAUCUAGACCUUUCAAGCGAAGAUGAUGAUCUGAAUAGAGCUGUCAAAUUAUCAGUAAAACUAAUGAAGAACAAAAAAUGGAUUCUUAUUUUAGAUGAUUUGUGGAACAAUAUUAAGCUACACAAAGUGAGAAUUUCGGUCUGUUGAAAGGAUACAAGUUGAUUAUGACAACUCAAUUAUAAACGGUUUGUCAUCGGAUGGCUUGCCACCACAAAAUCAAAGUGAAGCCACUCUCUAGGGGAGAAGGUUAGACUUUGUUCAUGGAGAAACUUGGACGUGACGUAGCACUUUAACCAGAAGUGGAACGAAUUGCAAAAGCUAUUGAUAGGGAAUGUGCUGGUUUGUUUUUGGGAAUUAUUACAGUGGCAGGAAGCUUGAGGGAAGUGGAUGACCUACAUGAGUAGAGAAAUACAUUGUUAGAGAAAGUGUUAAAAUGGAGUAUGAUGGUAGUAGAAGUGUCAAGAUGCAUGACUUGAUUGGAAACAUGACCAUACAUAUACUACAGAGAACUCUCAAGGCAUGGUUAAAGCAGGUGCACAAGUAAAAGAGUUGCCAGAUGCAAAGAAGGAAGAAUUCGUGGACAUAUGGUCAAUUAUUUUUAUUAAAUUGAUUUCAUUUUAUUUCUUAUUUUUUAAAAAAAUCCUUUUGAUGUUAACAUGUCCUCGUAUAGUAACCGUGAUACUAAAAAUUUAAAUAGGUUACCAACUUAACUGGAUGAAUUAUAUUUUUUCAGAUUAAAAUCUUGUUUGAUUCAAUUUUAAAAUUAAUCUGAUUGGACUUAGACUCCAAGUUGUAAUUUUAACUUACUUUUUACACAAAUUUCAACUUUAUAUUUUCCAAAUUGAAAUUUUUUUCAUUAAUAUCUUCCCUUAUGGCUGGUUUGGCUUUUUGUGUUUCAAAAUAAAUAAAUAAAACAUAUUUCAUUGUUCUUUUUAGAAGAUAUUUGGAAUCAUUUGCUGAAUUAUUUUCCGUUUUUAUUUUUGAAUUUUGAAAUAAAAGAACUCCUAAAGCAUGCUUUCUUUUUUAAUUUUGAUCCUUAAAGUUUUUAUUUUAUUUUAUUUUAAUCCAAAGCUUUAUUUUCUUGACUUUUUAAACAACAGCCUGGAUAAACUUAAAGUAAAGUUCUUUUUCUUAGAAACAUCCUAGAUACACUAAAAAUAUUGUAACCAUAACUUUAUCGGAUUUCUGUGAUUCUUGAUGCGUUGGAAAGGUAUCGUAAAGGGCUCUACAAGUUAGCCCUCUGAUGAAAAAGGAGGGCUGCCUACUUUUGAGAAAGGGGGUUGCCUCCUCUGUAAAGAGGGCUAUUUGGCAUAAAGAAGACGUGUGGGAAUUGCACUAGAGAGAGGGGAAAAAAAGAGCACAGAUGAGGAAAGGAAUGACUAAUACAGUGAUGGGUAACUAAAUUGUUCAGAUUUCUAAUUAUUCUAACUCCUUUGUUUUAUUUUCUCAAUUUGUUGUUGAGAAGUAUUCUUCUCCGCAUUUAUGCAGUUUAUGGAUUCAUUCAUGUUUUUUCUAUUGAAUGGAUUGAUCUUUGGAUCAUUUAUUUACCUGUAUUGAUUUAAUUUCUUUGCUUUAAUAUUGCUCCUUAAAUACAUUGUCGUCAAUGGAUUUAAGUUCUUAAUAGGGAUAAUUAUUUAAAAGUAGUGAAUGAUUUUUCAAAAGGGUUAUAUUAAUUUGGUUUAAUGUUGAUUUAAUUAUCUAUAUACCUUUUAAGUGGGAAUUUUGGGAAUUCAACUUCGAAUUGAGUUAUUCAACAAAAUAAGAAUAAUUAAAAUAUCAAAUGUGUGCGCAAGGGAUUCUGACUACCUGCUGUUUGUAGGAUUUAAGUACUUUUUUCAUAAGUCACUUUGCUUUAUUUCUAUUAAUUUUUAUUCACUAAAGCUUGAUUGCGUUCCUGGGAUUUUGAUGAGUCUAUGAAAGUGCAUUCUAUCAUUGGAAUAAAAUGCUAAAAUGUGAAUAAAAAUAAUAGAAAUUAAACAGACAAGUCAAGGCCCAGCAGUCGUGAAAUUAUUUCACUUUGAACCAGCCUCCACACACUUAAAGUAUCUUAAUCAUAACUUUCCACUCACAUAUCGGAUUGCCGUGAUUCUUGACGCGUUGGAAAGGUAUCUUGAAGGGCUACAAAUUAGCCUCUAAUGAGGAUUUCAGAAAAGGAACUCCUAAAGCAUGUACGUGGCUGCCAAAAAAAAGUCCUAAAAUCUAGGCAAUUUGUUUGUGACACAACGGGGAUCAUGGAGACGUGAUUUUAGGGAUUUAUGUAGUUUAUGGAUUCACUCAUGUUUCUUCCAUUAAAUGGAUUAAAUCAUUUAAUAUUUUCUUCUAUUCUUUUAGUUUGUCAAUGCUGUGCUACCAUCACCGCAUUAUUCUUUGGAUGUAAUUACUAAUUUAUUAUUAGUUAUUUUUUGGAUUCACUUAACAAACAAACACAAAAAAUAAUAAUAUAAAAUGUAUGACCCAUAAAAAAUAAUAAGAAUAUUUUUACCUUGGAUUUUUCUUCUUCUAGUUGUAUCUCUCUAUUUCUUUAAAAUAAAUAUAAAAUAAUAACUAAUAAAAUGACAUUAAUUAAUCUAUAAGCACUAUCAAAUUACUCUCCAAUUAUUUGCCCUGGAAUUUGGAUGAUCUAUAAUUCCAAGCGGGCAUUAUGCAUUUCUUAGCUAGGGGGAGCAAAACUUGAGCUAGCAUGUUUCUGGCUUUUGAUUUUCUGGGUAUGAUUUGUUUGGCUACUUUAUAGUUUAUAGGUUUUUGUCUAAUUUAUCUAUAUAUAGGAUUUAGAAUCUUGAUGAAUGAAACUAGCAUUCUCGAUUUCUUGGGAUAAAAAGAGCAGAAUUAUUAUUAAAAUUAAAAAAGAAAAAACUGCCCAGGCUUUUACCAUGUACCAGGAGAGAAAAACACUGUAGAUUAAAAUAGCCUUUUAUCUCUUAAAUUUCUUUUAAUCACUUAUUAUUUUAUUUUUAAUUUUAUCUUUAUAGAUUAUGUUGAUGGAAAUUUGAGGCUGAUAACUUGUUUUAAUUAACUUGUCAUGGAGUUCUCAAGGUCUAAAAAAAAAGGGCUUCAACGUUAAGUUAAGUUGACGUUUGACUUCACAAAAUUUUAUUUAUUUUAAUUCAAUAAAAAUAAUUGAAACUUUGAAAAUCAAAUAUGAUACUGAAACCAGAAAGUAACCAGAAACUUUGAGCUUUUGCAUUUUAAUUUUUAGUUUUAAUCUAAAAUUUUAUUUUGUUUAUUUUUUAAUUUAUAGAUUUGAUAUAAAGAAAAAAAGUAAAUGAAAAAACUUCAAAAAAAGAUAAAAAGUUAUUAAUUGAUAAUUUUCUAAUAAAAAAAACACGAUCAUCUUUUUGUUAAUGGAAAACUUGUGUUUAGAUUAGAUAGCAAAUCAUACUUUAUAGAUUGAGGGCUAAAAAUAUAAAUUUGUAGAAGGGAGUUGGAAAAAAAAAACAAUUUUCAUGGUUAUGGAAAAGUGUGCGAUCAUAAGAUGUUUUUUUUAUUGUUAUUUUAUUAAUAUGAGUGUUUGAGUUAAUUUACAUAUAUUUUAACUAAUUUAAUAAGUUUUAAAAUUAAUAAUUAUAUAAGUUUUAUUUAAUUUUAAAAUUUAUAUAAUUUAAAUUGAUAAUAUCUAAAAAAAUAAAUUUAAACUCUAAUUAAUUGAAGGAUAGCACUUGUAAUUACGAGAUGUUAUGAAAGAGAGGGGUAUGUCGUUCUUUGUACUCCAAACUUAUUGACUGAUGUGCCUCUUAAAUAAAAGCACACCAUAUACUGUCAAUAAAAAUAGAAAUAUGAAUAAAAGUUUAUAAUGAUAAGUAUAUAUUCAAAAAAAUUAUAUUAACUUAAUACAUAUAAAAGUCAUAAAUAUCCCAUCUUAAUUAAGCAAACUUGAUAAAUCUAAUUACUCAAAUCUGACUUAAUACAUAUAAAAGUUUGUGAAGAUUGAAUACCUGGUCUUAAUUUUUGAGUUAUUUUAUAUUAAAAUAUAUUAUUUUAAUAUAUUUUAAAAUAAAAAAUACUUUAAAAUUUUUUAAAAUAACAAUCAUCAUAUUCCCUACUACACUGUUAAAAUCACUCUAAAAGUAAUAAUGUUUUGCUAAAAGCACUGAAGCUUCAACGUGUGAAACAGCUGGAUGCACUUUUAAGUAUUUUAAUCACAACUUUUCACUCACAUGACGGAUUGAUGUGAUUUUUGUCACGUUAUUUUGUUUGAAAAUGCUUGUUUUUUAAAAAAAUUUGAUUUUUUUAAAAAUUAUUUUUUAUAUUUUAAAAUUAUUUUAAAUUGUUAAUAUUAAAAAUAAUUUUUAAAAAAUAAAAAAUAAUUAUUUUAAUAUAUUUUUAAAUAAAUUGUUAAUAGUAUCUUAAUCAGCUCCCCCGGGCUACAAAAUAGUCUCUGAUGAGGAUUUCAAAAAAAAAAAAAAAAACUUUAGGUUUUUGAUGAAAACGUGUGGGAGUGGGACCAUGGGGACAUGAUGAAAAUAUAGGUGGAAAAGUGGGGCUGCCUCCUUUAGAAAAAGGGGGCUGCCCAUAAAGAAGACGCGUAGGAAUUGCACCAGAGAAAAAAAAAAAAACAAGAAAAGAAAAGGGAUUAAUGUAGUUUAUGGAUUCAGUAAUGUUUUUUUUCUAUUAAAUGGAUUAAUUGUUUGAUUAUAUUUGGUUCAUUUAUUUAUCUGUAUUGAUUUAAUUUUUUUCCUAUAAUAUUGAUUUAAUAAAAAGAACUCCUAGUCCUAAGAUUGACUCAAUUGGAAAGGAUCAUGGUACGUACUGCCAAGAUUGUUAUGCACACAAGCAAAACAUAAUUUGUUUUUGUAUUCAGAAUUAUAUUUGAGUUCAUUUAAAAAUUUGUUUAUUUUGAAAAAAAUAUUAAAUUAAUAUUUUUAAUAUUUUUUAAUAUAUUAAUAUUAAAAAUAAAAAAAAUAUUUUGAUUACUAAAUCUCCACCGACCUAUUUCAUUGUAAAUUACAAUAGUACGUCAUACAAGGUGUUUUGUUAUUUUUUUAAAAAAAAAUUGUUUUUGUUUAUUUUGUUAUAGGUUGAUUUAAAAUUUAGUUUCGUAAUUUAUUAAAUUUUAUUUUAAUUUUUAUAAGAUUAACGUGAUUUACAAAUUUGUUAAAAUAACUCAAAUUAUACUAAUUUUCAGGUUUGGUGGGGUUUUUUUUGUUUAUUAAUUAAAAAAAAAGCUAAAAGAUGUGGGAGAACCGCUAUUCACCCACACCUAUUUUAUUAUGAAUUACAAUAAUAAUCUAUAGUGUUUUGCUUCUUCUUCUUCUUCUUCUUUUCCUUCCCUUUCCUUUUUUUGGUUAUCAUUUUAAUUUUUUUUUUCUGUUUCAUAUUUGGGUUGGUUUAGAAUUUAGUUUCAUAAUUGAUUUUAUUUUUCUUUUUAUGAGGUUAUCGUAGUCUAAAAAAAUAUGUAUUAGUAUUGGGUUCGUGUUUAAAUUUAUGGUUAUCUAUUUUUAUUAUCAUAUUGUUAAAUAAAAAAAUUUUAAAAAAAUUAUAAUUCUACUAGAGUCCAUAACCUUGUUCAUGAGUUUGAUGUGCUAAUCAAAGUUACCUGAUUCACAGGUUUGAUAAUUUUACUUACUGAUUGAACAUGUUUUUUUUUUUAUCUUUUAAUUUUUUUAAUUAAUUUUUUUUUCAAUUUCGUCCUUCAAUAUUGGAUUGGUUUGGAAAUAGACUACAUGAUUUAUUUUUAUUUGUUUUCUAUAGAUUAUUGCAGUCUCAAAUAAAUAUUUAUUUUAGGGAUGAUGCUUAAUUUUAUGAAUACCUAUAUUUAUCAUAUAAUUAAAUUAAAAAAAUUGUAAAAAUUUACUAAACCCAAUAGAAUUCAUGAUCCGAGUUGCGAGGGACCGAAAUUGAUUUAAUCUGUCAUUUUCUUAAUAUUUUUUAAACAAUAUUUUCAGCUAGAGGUUUUUGUAAAAAGUGAAGCCAUGUUUUACUAGUCUUUUAAGUUAACUUUAGAUCUAUAAAAUCGAUUAAUUUAAAUCGAGAUAGUUUUUAUAUAGUAAGUAAAGAUUUGAAUUGGAUAAAAAGCUAAAUAAAGAGAUUUUUAAUAAUAUUGCCAACAAACUUUUUUCACUCUUAAAGAUUCUUUUUUAUAUUUAUAUGAAAAACACUAGGUUUUGUUUAUUAAAAGUAAGGAUGGAUCGUCUUUGACUGCGUGUACCUCUAAUCAGCAACAGAUAGAUAACGGCAACGAUUGAAAACCUUUAAUCUGUCUUCUAAUUUUUUCCCUAUUAGUAAUUGUUACAUAAUCAGAUUCGCUUUAUGUUGAAUAAUUAUUUUUUUAUUUUUUAAAUUUUUUUUAUUUUAUUUUUAAUAAUCUGAUUUUUUUUAAAUGUGAGAUUUGAAAUCUAUUAGUAUAUAUGCUCUAUGUUCUCAAGAAAAAAAUUGUGUUUUUUCAAUGUGUGAUGAAAAAUAUUUUGAUUUAAAUACUUCAAAUUAAAAAAAUAACAUAAUUUCGAUUCUGAGAUAUUUUGAAAGAGAGGAAACGUUAAUUGAAGUACAAACUCAAUGAUUGAUGUAAGAUUAUAUAACAACUCCAAUUUACAUAAACUUGAGAUUAUUUUUAAGUUUCAUUUCAAUGCAUGUCAAGCAGAUUAUGUUGUGCAUAGUUUUAUGUAGAAGGGUAGCUAGCUAACUUUAAAGUGCAUCUGUUGUUAAGAACGCUAUUUCUUGGUUCAGUUGUUUUGUUUUAUACAGGCUAAGUUAGUCUGCUUACAUCUGGUUGGUUUGUGAUCGCUUGCUGCACCCUUUCCCCUUUGGAAAAUGGAAGCAGAAACUUUCAGCAUUCGAUCGGGGGCCACAGAGGUUAGCUAGCUAACUUUAAUUCCGAUUCCGACAUGAUUAAAGUUAUGGAACAUGAUCCAUCAUCACUAGCCUCUCCUCAUUCAUGUGUUAGGUUGGAAUCCUUCAACUGUUUUUGCCACAGUUCUUCGACUAGAUUUUUGUAUCAUUCGUGGAUAUAUAGUAAAAAUUCGUUUUGAUGUUAAGAACAUCAUCGUAACAAAAACCUUAACUAUUAGGAAAAACACACAGCAAAUACAUGGACUUUACCAUGUCAUAAUUAAUUUGAGAUAAGGAAUAUGUAUGGACUUUACAAAUAGGUAUUAUCAUCUAGAAUACUAUAAUUCUUAUUAGCAAUUUUUUUGUACAUAUUCAAGGCUUUCUACCAGAAUUCUUAUUAGGAAAAACUUGUGUAGAUAUUCAAGGUAGUUGUGGUUUUAUUUCAAUGGACUCCACAUUUUUUUCUUAUAAACGUUUAACGGGUACAAAUUCUCAAAGUACUGUAGGUUUUGAGUCCUGAGUUCUAUUUCCAACCAUAGGUUUAACGGUUGUUUCAGUACCCCUAAGCACUAUUUUUAUUGCUAAUGCUAUUCUUCGUUAAAUUUUUAGGGAAUGGAAGUUGGAGUGGAUCAGAUAAUGACAUUGAUGGGGGAGAAGUGCGAUGAAUCAUUCCUAGCAUAGUACUUACAGCUCUUGAAGCUAAGCUUCAGGCUCUUACAUUUUCAGGUCAGCUUUUUCAGAGUUUCAACAAUGGGGUGGGUCCACGAGUUAAAGUGUUUGGCAUUAUUGUCAGAAAAUGUUUUUUUUUUAAAAUAAUUUUUAGCUUCUGAUUCUUUUGUUGAAGAUUUUAAUUAUAUGCAGCGCUAGACAAAAGAAAAGCAAAAUAGAGGUGUACAGCAACAACAUGUUGUAUCUUGUAAUAUAAUCUUUGGUAGGAAAGUUAUGGCUUUUUUCCUAGCAACUUCUUGUCAAACAAUAAAAGAAUCUUUGCUACUGUAACAUUCUCUUCCAAAUCUCAUCUCAUUAUACCAUUGAUUUCCAGUUUCCCUCAUCAAAUUUCUUAAACCUUUCUGAUGAUCAGUGCUUCCUUUUCUGAUUGAAUCGAAUCAUCUGGAGCUGAACAUCUUGCAACUUCCUUGUUAUUUUUAAACCAUAUACUCUUCUCUGAUCUUGUUUUUCUUUCUGAAUACUACUUAAGCAAACCAGCACCUGAAGAACUACUUGAAUCCAGGUAAAUUAUUUAUACUCCAUCUUCUUCAUUUUGUUUUUCACAUGUAACUCUGGUUUGAAUCUUUCAAGGAAAACACAAGUUGUAGAAAUUCUAAUGAGAAACUUUGGAGUUAGGAUCAUCAACAGUUUCCAAAAAUAAAUAAUUUGAUCUUUCUCAGUUGUAACAACCCAUGCCUUAAGGAGUUCAUACUAAAUUGACCCCAAGUUAACCUUGAAUUCAUUGUUUUUUCUUCUUGGUUUCUUUGCUGUUUGUAACUUAUUAUUUUAGUUUCAACCUUCCUUUUCCAAUUAAUGUACUUCCAUUAAUUUUUAUUCAAUAUUUUGACCCUUUUUAUCUAUAGGACAAAUGGAUCCGUUUUGGAAGGAAGUUGAAGAAAUGAAUGAUGGAAGCAUGAAGUGUAAGUUUUGUCGGCAUUUAUUUGCCAAAGGUACUUCCAUUUCGAGGAUCAAAUGGCAUUUAUCAGGAGAGAGAGGGCAUGGUGUUGGCAUUUGUGGUCAGGUGCCUGAAGAAGUUCAAGAAGCAGCCUUUCUAGCUAUGAAUGGUGGCAACAAAAGACAUAAAAGCAUAGCAAGUUCAAGCAAUGUUGACAUUUCCACCUGUCCACAAGAACAAGACAAUGCAGUACUUGGUAAUUUGGCACAAGGUGUUGGGCGUAAGAGAAUUCAUUGGCGUUUAGAAGCGGCAAAUGGCAUGGAAAACACUGGUGAAGGAUCUUUUCAGCAUGUUGACAGAAGUGUCUCUCCUUGGAGACUCAGAAUUGAUGCUUAUGAGAAUAGAGGAGAAGCAACACAAAGAACAGAUUUAGUGGAUCAAUUUGCUGAUAGUACUUGGGUUCAGAUACACUCUGCCUUUUCAAAGGAGCAGCAGCUGAAUGAAAUCUCUACCUAUUUAAUGCAGGAAGAUGAGGAUGUGGAGCGUCUGCAUGAUGCAUUUGAAACUGUACCGAGAACAGAACAAGUGCAGCAUCUGGAGAGAGGUAGCUCUUGUGAGAGGCCAUCAAUUAAUCAAGCUGAUGAGCCUCGAGGAGAUUCAUCCCAACCAACAGAUCCAUUGUGUCUUGAUCAUGGAAGAUAUUAUGACCACCUAUUUGCUCCAUCAGUAAACAAUGAUGUCAUUAUGAAUGAUGUGCAGAACAUGGUUAGAGUGAGGACAGAACCAGUGGAGGAGGAUGUGGAGAAUAGUCGAAGAUCAGUGCGGCCUGAAGCUGGAGCUAGAUCUUCUGAAAGUCUGAAAUACAACAAGACUAGAGGAGUUCCAUUACCUACUAGCUCUACAAAGCCAGUGGGUCAAGCAUUCGAAGAGAAUACGAAGGUGAUAUGGUCUUUGUUAAUAAAUGGGGAAGUCUCAACCAUUGGUAUUUAUGGGAUGGGGGGAGUUGGUAAAUCCACAAUACUACAACAUAUCUAUAAUGAUCUUCUACAAAGACCAGAUAUUUGUGAUCAUGUUUGGUGGGUGAUUGUGUCUCAAGAUUUCAACAUUAAAAGACUGCAGAAUCUUAUUGCUACAGAACUUCAUCUAGACCUUUCAACAGAAAAUGAUGAUCUACAUAGAGCUGCCAAAUUAUCAAAAGAACUAAGGAAGAAACAAAAAUGGAUUCUCAUUUUAGAUGAUUUGUGGGAUCAUUUUAAGCUACAUAAAGUGGGAAUUCCUAAAAAGUUGGAAGGAUGCAAGAUAAUUAUGACAACUCGAUCAGAAACAGUUUGUCAUGGAAUUGCUUGCGAUCACAAAAUCCAAGUGAAGCCACUUUCCGAGGGAGAAGCUUGGACUUUGUUCAAGGAGAAUCUUGGACGUAACAUAGCACUUUCAUCAGAAGUGGAAGGAAUUGCGAAAGAUAUUGCAAGGGAAUGUGAUGGUUUGCCAUUGGGAAUUAUUACAGUGGCAGGAAGCUUGAGGGGAGUGGAUGACCUCCAUCAGUGGAGGAAUACAUUGAAGAAAUUGAGAGAAUCAGAAUUUAAGGACAAGCAAGUAUUCAAGUUAUUGAGGUUUAGUUAUGAUCGGUUAGGUGAUGUAGCACUACAACAAUGUCUCUUGUACUGCGCAUUAUUUCCUGAAGAUUAUUGGAUUCGGAGGAAGGUGUCGAUAGGUCAUUUGAUCGAUGAGGGAAUAAUUGAAGGAACGAUGAGGAGGAAAGAUGCAUUUGAUGAGGGCCACACGAUGCUUAAUAAACUUGAAAAUGUCUGCCUAUUGGAAAGUUUUAAAAUAGAGUAUAAUGAUAGAAGUAUCGUCAAGAUGCAUGACUUGAUUAGAGACAUGGCCAUCCAAAUACUGCUAGAGAACUCUCAUGUCAUGGUUAAAGCUGGUGUGCAAUUAAAAGAGUUGCCAGAUGGAGAGGAGUGGACGGAGAAUCUCACAAGAGUCUCACUAAUGCAAAACCAGAUCGAAGAAAUUCCUUCCAGCCAGUCACCAAGGUGUCCCUAUCUAUCAACUCUAUUUCUAUGUAAUCAUUACGGGUUGAGAUUUAUUGCGGAUUCAUUUUUCAAGCAAUUGCAUGGGCUCAUGGUCCUUGAUCUGUCUCGCACAGGUAUUAAAAAUUUGUCAGACUCUGUCUCUAAUUCAGUGAGUCUCACUGCAUUAUUGCUCACUGAGUGUUACAACUCAAGACAUGUUCCAUCAUUAAAGAAUCUCAGGGAACUAAAGAGAUUGGAUCUCUUUUGCACUCCACUUGAAAAGAUGCCGCAAGGAAUGGAAUGCCUAACCAACCUAAGGUUUCUUAGAAUGAGUGGAUGUGGUGAAAAGAAGUUUCCUAGUGGAAUAUUACCAAAACUUUCUCACCUGCAAGUCUUUGUACUACAUGAAUUUUCAAUUGAUGCAAUAUAUGCUCCGAUAACAGUUAAAGGAAAUGAAGUAGGAUCUUUGAGAAAUUUGGAAAGUUUGGAAUGCCAUUUCGAAGGUUUCUCUGACUUCGUGGAGUAUCUCAGAUCUCGGGAUGGGAUUCAAUCAUUAAGCACAUAUAAAAUUUUAGUAGGAAUGGUGCAUGAAUCUUAUUGGGUAGACGUUAUUGAUGAUUAUCCAAGUAAAACAGUUGCGUUGGGUAAUUUGAGUAUCAACGGAGAUGGAGAUUUUCAGGUCAAGUUCUUAAAUGGCAUUCAAGGACUGGUUUGUAAAUGCAUCGAUGCAAGAAGUUUAUGUGAUGUUUUGUCAUUAGAGAAUGCAACUGAACUGGAGGAAAUCAACAUUCAGGAUUGCAAUAACAUAACAAUUAUUUUAAACCAAAUAAGAUACUAAUUCGGUAAAAUUUGAUCCAUCCAAUCAAACCUAGUUCAUAUUUGACCACAUUAAUUAAAAAAAUAAAAUGAUAUUAUUUUAAUAAAAAUAAUUAAUUUAAAUUAACUUAAUAAAUAAUUCAUAAGUUAUUAAAUAUCUGCUAUAUUAAAAAAUUAUCUUAAACCAAAAGAAUUAAGCAGACAUAACAAUGAUAUAAUGCUACUUAAUAAAUGUUUGAUGGCGUUCCUGGGGUUUUGAUGAGUCUAUGAAAGUGCAUUCAAAUGCUCUGUCAUUGGAAUAAAAUGCUAAAAUGUGAAUAGAAAUAACAGAAAUUAAAGGGCAUUUUUUAAUCGAGCUUCUAUUUAAUUUGAUAUACUAUCAAGCUUUUAUAUAUAUAUAUAUAUAAUUUUGAUCCUUAAAAGUUUUUUUUUUUUAAUCUAAAACUUUAUUUUCUUGACUUUUUAAACAGCAGCCUGGAUAAACUUAAAGUAAUGUUCUUUUUCUUAGAAACAGCCUAGAUACAUUUAAAGUAUUUUAAUCAUAACUUUCCACUCACAUAUCGGAUUGCUCUGAUUCUUGACGCGUUGGAAAGGUAUCGUAAAGGGCUACAACUUAGUCUCUAAUGAGGAUUUCAAAAAAGGAACUCCUAAAGCAUGUACGUGGCUGCCAAAAAAAGGUCCUAAAAUACCAAAUGUGUGCAAGGAUUCCCGACGCUCUACUGUUUGUAGAAUUCCAGUAGUGCUUUCUCCAUGAGUCACUCUGCUUUAUUUUAAUUUGCAUUUAAAAUUAAAUUUUAUUCUCUAUUAAAUCAUUUACUGAAGUUCGGAGCUUUAAAGUGUAUGCCAUAUUUGUACAAUUAUAUAACAAAUUAAUUUUCAUUGUCUCGACAUGAUAUUUUUCCUUGUUUCUAAUUCUUCACCUGCAUUUCCCACGCAAUAUUUUAUAAUUAUUAGGGGAAUAACCAGGGAUAUAUUAUUAGUUAUUUUCUAGAUUCAUUUAAAAAAACAAAUACAAAAAAAAUAUAAAAUUCAUGACUCAUAGAAAAUAAUAAGAAUAUUUUCAUCUUGAAUUUUUCUUUUUCUAGUUGUAUCUCUUUAUUUUUUUAAAAUAAAUAUAAAAAAUAAGUAAUAAAAUAUCAGUAAUUAAUCUAUAAACACUAUCAAAUUACUCUCGAAUUAUUUACCCUGGAAUUUGGAUGAUCUAUAAUUCAAAGCGGGCAUGCUGCAUUUCUUUGUUAGGGUUUUUGUCCUUUCUACUAAUUUAUCUAAAUAUAAGAUUUAGAAUCUUGAUGAAUGAAACUAGCAUUCUCUAUUUCUUGGGAUAGAAAGAACAGAAGUCUUAUUAAAAUUAAAAAAGAAAAAACUCCUCAGGCUUUUACCAUGUACCAGGAGAGAAAACACUAUAGAUUAAAAUAGUUUUUUAUCUCUUAUUUUUUUUAAUCACUAAUUAUUUUAUUUUUAAUUUUAUCAUUAUAGAUUAUGUUGAUAGCGAUUUGAAACUGAUAACUUGUUUUAAUUAACUUGUCAUGGAGUUCUCAGGGUUUUUUUUAAAAAAAGGCUUCAACAUUAAGUUAAGUUGACGUUUGACUUGACAAAAUUUUGUUUGUUUUAAUUCAUUAAAAAUAAUUGAAACUUUGAAAAUCAAAUAUGAUACUGAAACCAGAAAGUAGCCUAUGGAGUUUUCAGGGAAAACUAGUGUGUAGAUUAGAUACCAAAUCAUACUUUAUAGAUCGAGAGCUAAAAAAAUAAAUUUGUAGAAGGGAGUUGGAAAAAAAAUAAUUUCCAUGGUUAUGGAAAAGUGCGCGAUCAUGACAUGGUUUUUUUUUAUUAAUCGGGUUAGCUUACGUAGAGUAAAGCAUACAAAAGUAACAAAAAAAAAUAUUGUGCUUUUGUUAGCUUGAUAUGCUUUCGUCCUUGCUAUCAAUUUUAAUUUUUUUGGUUACUUUUGUAUGCUUUCCUCUGUUGCUAAUAUCCACCUCAGCAUGUAGCAUCACUCUGUUAUAUAAACACCAUGGGUAUAUUGGUAAAAUAGAAAAACAUUCACUAUAAUUUGUCUCACAAAAAUUUCAUGGUUAAGUAUAAUCACUCUGAUCUAAUAUACACACUCAUAUAUCUUAUAAUAUAAUGUUUGGUAGGUAAGCGGUGGGUUGCUUCCUGGCAACUUCCUUCCUAUCAGACAAUACGUUAAUUGAUUAUUAUUGAGCUGCCCUUACUAAUAAAUAGUAUUAUUUAAGGGAGCUAGCGGCUGUACUGUAACAUUCUCUUCCACAUCUCAUCUCAUUAUACAAUUCCCUAUUUUCCUCUCCCCAUCUCAUGAUCAGUGCGAACUAGAUUUAUGUAUGCUGCAACUUUAUUAUCUUUCUAAACCAUAUAUUCUUCUCUGAUCUGUGAUUUCUCUUCCUUUUCUUUUGGCUGAUCACUGCUUAAGCAAACCAGCUAGCACUUGAAGAACAUCUUGAAUCCAGGUAAAUUAUUUGUACUUCAUCUUGUCUGAAUCUUUAAAGUAAUCCAUGAUAAAUUAAUCGAUCUUUUUCUCGGAUUUCAUAAUCCAUGCCCUGUGGUGUUCAUACUAAACUAACCCUAAACCUUGAAUUCAUUGUUUUUGUCUUUUCAAGAUUCUUUGCUGUUUUUAACUCCUUAUUUAUGGGAUUUCUUUUCCAAUACUAGAUUUUGUAAUCCAAUAUUUUUCUGACAUAAUGAUUCAAUGAAAUUGUUUUUUACUGAUUCAUGAAUUAACUUGAUCAGUAUUAAUUAACUUAAAACAAGUGACAAAUAAUUUAGCAUUAAAACAAAGAAUUAAAUAAUUAACAGCAACAUUUAUAUUUCCUAUUUUUCAUCCGAAUUUCUUUAACAAAUAAAUAAGUCAUAUAUAUAUAUAUAUAUAUUCUUAUCUAAUCUGUGCUUUCUGUUCUUUUUUAAACCUCAGAUGGAAGGAGUCCCACCGUCUUUUAAUGAGGAUGAUGUCAACUUGACAUCGAAUCAGUUCGAUUUUCAAUCACCAGAAGAUUCAUUCAAUAUUUCUGAGUUUCUCUCGUACGUCAUUCUUAAGCAUAUUUUAUCAGAAGAUGAUUACUUGCAAUUUAGUUAUUCUACAGUUUUUCUUAUUAUUCCCAUAAAAGAAUAAUGUUCCUAAUAACAAAUUAAGCAGGUCGCCACCGGAGGUUCCAGGCAACCAAAGCUUCAUGUUAUGCAAUGAUCAUGCUGGUCAGAACAUGGUGGUGGAUAACAAUGUGAUCAACGAUAGUAUUCAACAAACAACUGAUCAGUUUCCACCUUCAUUUCCUCAAACCAUGGUGAGUGCUCAUGCCUACUCCAAUUUGCUACAAUGUCCAUUGAAUUAGCAAGUGUUUGUAUCACCCAUUGGAUCAAAAAGUUUUAUGUUUUCGUGUAUCAAUUUAUCUCGAGCAUCUUCAAAAUGUUUAUUGUUAAACAAACAGACAACAAUGGGAGAUUUAGAUGGAACAUCAUCGUCAUGGAUCAACCAAAAUGAACCAAAUUGGCCUCAAGCUCCACCAAGGUACAUAAUAUUCAUCAUUAUUUAACUUCUUCUUCUUCUUGUUCACACUAAAUGAAUUCAUUAUGUUUGAAUAUAGGUAUCUGCCUAAUUUAUUUGAUCCUCAAUGUGCCAAUCAUUUGAGGUAAGCUAAAAUGAUAUCAAAUGCUUAGUGGAUUAAUAGCAAAGAAUUAUGCAUAUGUAUGAAGAAAUCACUAACAAAUGUUGCUUAUUUAGGGACCAACAAAGGACUAAUUAUCAGUUACCAAUGAGCAAUCAAGUGCCUGCGAUGCUACCUGGACCUCAACCUCCAAUGAAUCAAUGGUACUAACCUCGAAUAUACACUUUUUUAAUCAUGAAAACAAUGAACUUGACCAAAAUUGAGCUCUCUGUCUCUCUAGAAAAUCAACCAAGUGAUUUAACUAUUUGAAUAUUUUUCAGGCAUCAGAACUCUAUUAAUCAACCUCAGCCGGGACAUGACUAUAUGACACUGAACACAUCCACUUCACAACAUGGUGGCUUCAAUCAACAUGGACCUUCCUUUCCUCCUCCCUGGUAUCCAAUUUUUCAUUUUUAGUAUUUUCUGUAAAAAAAAUUAGUUUUUCAAUCAGGAAAGUAACAUCAUAGCUUGAACAUGAACCCAGCAAGAUAAUCGUAAGUUUGUUUACGAAUGAUUUUGGAUUCAGGAUUCGAACUUUUUCUAAUGAAGGACAAGUACAUCAAGCUGCUGUAAUUCCUAACAUAGACAAUGUGCAACAAGAGAACUUCGUGCCUAGGUACUGACUGACUUCUAGCUGUUGAUUUUUAUUGCUUAAGAGAGACUACCAAUUAUAUCACUUCAUUUUUAUAUAGGUCACAGAUGGAUAACCUACAAGUCCGAGGAUUGCAAAAUCAAAUUGCUAGGCCAAAUGCCUCAAAUACUCAACAAGUAAGAAGUCUAACUGAAUUAUCGUCGUCUUUUCCCCCUAUGAUUGUGCAACAAACAAACUAUCAAUUUUAAUAGCAAAAUAAGGGUAACUUCCAUCAAUUUUUAUUCUUUAUUUUGACCCCGGUUUUUUUUCUAUAGGUCGAAACGGUUGGAUCAAAGUAUCCAUUUCGGAUUCAUGUUGAAUAUAGGGCUGAUGGUAGCAUGAAGUGUAAGUUUUGUCAACGUACAUGGGCCAAUAAAACUUCCAUUUCAAGGUUCAAAUGGCAUUUAUCAGGAGAGGAAGGGCGUGGUGUUGCCAUUUGUCGUGGGGUGACUAAAGAAGUUAAAGAAGCAGCCUUUCUAGCUAUAUGUGGUGGCCACAAAAGACAAAAAAUCACAGCAAGUUCAGUCAAUGUUAAUGACUGUGGAAUUCCAACAUGUCUACAAGAACUAAACAUUGAGAAUGAAAAUACGGGAGGGGGUGUUGGAAGGGUACAAAGAGAAGUUCAGGUUGUAGAACCCGGAGUGGUGGAAGAGAGGAUUUCUUCACAUGCAAUAGCAGGAAACGACGUAGGAAGCAUGACCGGAAUGAGAGCACAAGAAGAUAGGGUUUCCGAAGGGGCGCUCGAGAGCAGACUGAGGACAGAACCAGUGGAUCGAUCGUUGGAACAAAGCAAUGCAGUACUUGGCAAUGUGGCAGGGGGAGCUAGAAGGAUACAAGUGGGAGUUCAGGGCAUGGAACAAGAUCCAGGAGAAGAGAGAAUUCAGUCGCAUCUACAAGCGGAAAAUGGCAUGGAAAACACUGGUGAAGGAUCUUUUCAGCAUGAUGCAUUUGAGACUGUACCAAGAACAGAGAAAGUGCAGACUCUGGAGCCUGGAGGAGAUUCAUCCCAAUUUUGUCAUGGCAUUGGAAGAUGUUAUGAUCAACCUUGUGCUCCAUCAGUAAACAAUGAUGUAACUAGUCAUGAUGAGCAGCAUAUGGUUAGAGUGAUGACACAACCAGUGCAGGAAGAGGAGGAUGUGGAGAAUAGUGGAAGAUCAGUAGUGCAGGCUGGCGCAGGAGCUAGAUCUUCUGAAAGUCUGAAGUACAACAAGACUAGAGGAGUUCCAUUACCUACUAGCUCUACAAAGCCAGUGGGUCAAGCAUUUGAAGAGAACACGAAGGUGAUAUGGUCUUUGUUAAUGGAUGAUGAAGUCCCAACCAUUGGUAUUUAUGGGAUGGGGGGAGUUGGUAAAACAAUAAUACUGAAACAUAUCCAUAAUGAGCUUCUACAAAGACCAGAUAUUUAUGAUCAUGUUUGGUGGGUGACUGUGUCUCAAGAUUUCAACAUUAAUAGAUUGCAGAAUCUUAUUGCUACACAACUUCAUCUAAACCUUUCAAGAGAAGAUGAUGAUCUGCAUAGAGCUGCCAAAUUGUCAGAAGAACUAAAGAGAGAACAAAAAUGGAUUCUUAUUUUAGAUGAUUUGUGGAACAAUUUUGAGCUUGAGGAAGUGGGAAUUCCUGAGAAGUUGAAAGGAUGCAAGCUGAUUAUGACAACUCGAUCAAAAACAGUAUGUCAUCAGAUGGCUUGCCACCGCAAAAUCAAGGUGAAACCACUUUCUGAGGGAGAAGCUUGGACUUUGUUCAUGGAGAAACUUGGAUGUGGCAUAGCACUUUCACGAGAAGUGGAAGGAAUUGCGAAAGUUGUAGCAAAGGAAUGUGCUGGUUUGCCAUUGGGAAUUAUUACAAUGGCAGGAAGCUUGAGGGGAGUGGAUGACCUUCAUGAGUGGAGGAAUACAUUGAAGAAAUUGAGAGAAUCAGAAUUUAGGGACAUGGAUGAGAAGGUAUUCAAGUUAUUGAGGCUUAGUUAUGAUCGGUUAGGUAAUUUAGCACUACAACAAUGUCUCUUGUACUGUGCAUUAUUUCCUGAAGAUUAUAGAAUUAAGAGGAAGAGGUUGAUAGGUUAUUUGAUUGAUGAGGGAAUAAUUAAAAGGAGGAGCAGGGGAGAUGCAUUUGAUAAGGGCCACACGAUGCUUAAUAGACUUGAAAAUGUCUGUCUAUUGGAAAGUGCUAAAAUGAAUUAUGAUGAUAGUAGACGUGUCAAGAUGCAUGACAUGUAUUAUGAUGAUUGUAGACGUGUCAAGAUGCAUGACUUGAUUAGGGACAUGGCCAUCCAAAUACUGCUAGAGAACUCUCAAGGCAUGGUCAAAGCAGGUGCACAAUUAAAAGAGUUGCCAGAUGCAGAGGAGUGGACGGAGAAUCUGACGAUGGUUUCACUAAUGAGAAACGAGAUCGAAGAAAUUCCUUCCAGCUAUUCACCUAGGUGUCCCUAUCUAUCAACUCUAUUUCUAUGUGAUAAUGAAGGGUUGGGAUUUAUUGCGGAUUCAUUUUUCAAGCAAUUGCAUGGGCUCAAGGUCCUCGAUUUGUCUGGGACAGGUAUUGAAAAUUUGCCAGACUCUGUCUCUGAUUUGGUGAGUCUCACUGCAUUAUUGCUCAAAAAGUGUGAGAACUUACGUCAUGUUCCAUCAUUAGAGAAGCUCAGGGCACUGAAGAGGUUGGAUCUCUAUGGGACUCCGCUUAAAAAGAUGCCGCAAGGAAUGGAAUGCCUAACCAACCUGAGGUAUCUUAGAAUGAAUGGAUGUGGUGAAAAGGAGUUUCCUAGUGGGAUAUUACCAAAACUCUCUCACCUGCAAGUCUUUGUACUAGAAGAGUUAAUGGGGGAAUGUUCUGAUUAUGCUCCGAUAACAGUUAAAGGAAAGGAAGUAGGAUCCUUGAGAAAUUUGGAAAGUUUGGAAUGCCAUUUCAAAGGUUUCUCUGACUUCGUGGAGUAUCUCAGAUCUCGGGAUGGGAUCCAAUCAUUAAGCACAUACAGAAUUUCAGUAGGAAUGCUGGAUGAAAGUUAUUGGUUUGGCACUGAUUUUCUAAGUAAAACAGUUGGGUUGGGUAAUUUGAGUAUCAACGGAGAUGGAGAUUUUCAGGUCAAGUUCUUAAAUGGCAUUCAAGGACUGGUUUGUGAAUGCAUCGACGCAAAAAGUUUAUGUGAUGUUUUGUCAUUAGAGAAUGCAACUGAACUUGAGCUCAUCAACAUUCGGAAUUGCAAUAGCAUGGAGAGCUUGGUUUCAUCUUCUUGGUUCUGCUAUGCUCCACCACGAUUGCCAUCAUAUAAUGGUACGUUUUCUGGUCUUAAAGAGUUUUAUUGUGUUAGAUGUAAAAGUAUGAAGAAGUUGUUCCCACUUGUGUUGCUGCCAAACUUCGUAAACCUGGAAGUGAUUGUUGUUGAGGAUUGUGAGAAAAUGGAGGAGAUAAUAGGAACAACAGAUGAAGAAAGCAACACCUCCAGUUCCAUCGCCGAAUUAAAACUCCCAAAGUUAAGAGCUCUGAGACUGAGAUAUUUACCAGAAUUGAAAAGCAUUUGUAGUGCAAAACUGAUUUGCAAUUCUCUUGAAGAUAUUACUGUAAUGUAUUGUGAGAAGCUGAAGAGGAUGCCGAUUUGUCUUCCGUUGCUUGAAAAUGGCCAGCCAUCCCCUCCCCCUUCUCUUAAAAAAAUCGAAGCAAGGCCAAAAGAAUGGUGGGAGACAGUAGUGGAGUGGGAGCAUCCUAAUGCAAAGGAUGUCCUUCGUCCCUUUGUAAAGUUUGGAUACUGGUAAUCCUUCCGUUGUAAGAAUACUAAUUGAUUGUAACCUUAAAUUACAUAAAUAACAUUUUUCAUUUUUUUAUUUCAUUAAAGACUACUGAAUUGUCAUAUUUUUUUAACUCGAUAGAUAAACAAUUAUAAUUUGAAGUUUGAUUAAUAUUAUAUUUUCAUCCUAUUGAGGUUCUCCAAGAUGAAAAUCCAAAAAAUAAAAAAAUACUACAUUGAUUUAUCAUAAAAGUAACCUAAUAAAAUAAUAGAUGUUUUGAAAGAGGGGGUAUAGCGUUUAUUGUACUCCAAACUCAUUGACUGAUGUACCUCUUAAAUAAAAGCACACCAUAUACUGUCAAUAAAAAUAGAAAUAUGAAUAAAAGUUUAUCAUGAUAAGUAUAUAUUCAAAAAAAUUAUAUUAAAAGUCAUAAAUAUUCCAUCUUAAUUAAGCAAACUUGAUAAAUCUAAUUACACAAAUCUCUGACUUAUAAUACAUAUAAAAGUUUGUGAAGAUUGAACUCCUGCUCUUAAUUUUUGAAUUAUUCUAUAUUAAAAUAUAUUAUUUUAAUGUAUUUUUAAAUAAAAAAAUAUUAAAAAUAACAACAAUUACAUUCCUUUCCGCACGGUCAAAAUUACUCUAAAAAUAAUUUUUUAAAAAUAAAAAAUAUAAUUUUAAAAAUUAACAAUAUAUAUUUUUUGUAUGGCCAUAAAAAAAAUCAAAGUUACCUCCAAAUCAAACAUUAUUUUAAUAUAUUUUUGAAUAAAAAAUAUUUUAAAAAACAAUUACAACCACACUAUCUAACAUGCUUGUUUUCUUUCCGCAUCUAACCAGUGCGAACUAGAUUUAUGUAUACUGCAACUUUAUUAUUUUUCUAAGCCAUAUAUUCUUCUCUGAUCUGUGAUUUCUCUUCUUCUUUUUUUGUUCGUUCUUGGGAUAGAAAGAACAGAAUUAUUAUUAAAAUUAAAAAAGAAAAAACUGCCCAGGCUUUUACCAUGUACCGGGAGAGAAAACACUAGAGAUUAAAGUAGUCAUAAAUAUUCCAUCUUAAUUAAGCAAACUUGAUAAAUCUAAUUACACAAAUCUGACUUAAUACAUACUUAAUACAUAUUAAAGUUUGUGAAGAUUGAAUACCUAGUCUUUAUUUUUUAGUUAUUCUAUAUUAAAAUAUAUUAUUUUAAUAUAUACUUUAAAAUUUUUUAAAAUAACAACAAUCACAUUCACUUCCGCACUGUCAAAAUCAUUCUAAAAGUAGUAAAAGUAGUAAUGUUCUUUAAAAAAUCAUUGUUUAUGGAUUCAGUAAUGUUUUUUCUAUUAAAUGGAUUAAUUGUUUGAUUAUAUUUAGAUCAUUUAUUUAUCUGUAUUGAUUUAAUUUUUUUACUAUAAUAUUGAUUUAAUAAAAAGAACUCCUACAACAGCACGUAGCUGCCAAAAAAAUCCUAAAAUUGACUCAAUUAGAAAGGUACUUACUACCAAGAUUGUUAUGCCCGCAAUCAAAACAUAAUUUGUUUUUGUACUCAGAAUUAUGUUUGAGUGCAUUUAAAAAUUUGUUUAUUUAAAGAAAUAUAUUAAAUUAAUAUUUUUAAUAUUUUUUAAUAUAUUAAUAUUAAAAUAAAAAAAUAUUUUAAAGAGAAAAAAAUAUAUUUGACAAAGAAUGAAUAGAAAGCUUACGAAUAGUUAAGAGUCGUAUUGUAAAGUAUAGUUUACCGGUUGACUCACAGAUUAACUGAUUAACCCCAUCAUAUUAUUUAUUUAUAAAAACUAAAAUAAUAAUGUUUUUUUUAAUAUUAUCUUUUUAAAUAUUUUUAUUUUAAAAAAGUUUCACGUUGUAUAUAAAAAAAAUGUUUUAAUUUAGCAACGAUAGAGCAUUCACAAGGAAGAUGUUUUGCCUUUUUUUUCUUUAAUUUGUUUUUGUUUAUUUGAUUAUUGGCUGGUUUAGAAUUCAGCUAAGACAUCUAAUAAAAUAUUUUUAUUCUUAGAAAUUUUGUGAAAAACAAUCAAAAAACUAAUUUAAUUAGGGAUUAAUUGAGUAAUUAAUUACCUUUACCUUACAGAGGAUUUUUUCUUUAAUUUUUUAAAAAUAAUAAUUAAAUAUUAUUUUGAUGUAUUGUUAAAUAAAAAAUAUUUUAAAAAAUAAUUGAUAUUGUACUCUUAAACACCCCUAAAUGCUCUAUUAUUGAAAUCAAAUGCUAAAAUGUGAAUAGAAAUAAUAGAAAUUAAUGUGUAUUUUUUAAUUGAAUUUCUAUUUACUUUGAUAUACUCUUGAACAGGUCUUUAUGUUUGAUUUCAGAGUUUAUAGAGACGUGAAAUUCACUUGAAACCAGCCUGGAUACAUUUAAGUAUUUUACUCACAACUUUCUACUCACAUAUCAGAUUCCUGUGAUUCUUGACGCGUUGGAAAGGUAUCUUACAGGGCUACAAAUUAGUCUCUAAUGAGGAUUUCGAAAGAAGAACUCCUAAAGCAUGUACGUGGCUGCCUAAGAAGUCCUAUAAUUUUGGUUUUUGAUGAAAACGUGUGGGAUCAUGGAGACGUGAUGAAAAAGGAGGGCUGCUUCCUUUAGAAAAAGGGGUAUUUGUUGGCCAUUGCGCCAGAGAAAAAAAAAAGAAAAAAAAAGGAGGAGAACAGGCAAGGAAAGGAAUGGCUAAUUAAUACAGUGAAGGAUAGCCAAAUUGUUCAGAUUUCCAAUUAUUCCAACUCUUUUGUUUUAUCAUUCUCAAAGUCCAAACAACAACGGUACUGUCAAGACUGUUAUGCCCGCAAUUAAAAUAUAAUUUGUUUUUGUACUUAGAAUUAUAUUUAAUUGCAUUUAAAAUAUAAUUUUUAUUUUUUAAAAAAUAUUAAAUUAAUAUUUUUUAUAUAUUAAUAUUAAAAAUAAAAAAAUAUUUUGAUUACUAAUAACGAAUAGUUAAGAGACGUACUAGUGGACUCACAUAUUAACUGAUUAACCUGAGUAAAAAACAAAACCACAUCAUAUUAUUUAUUUAUAAAAACUAAAACGAUGGUAUUUAUUAAAAAAAAACCAAAAAAACAAUUUUUUUAAAUAGUAUUUUUUUAAAAUAUUUUUAUUUUAAAAAAGUUUCACAUAAUUGUAGAUAAAAAAAGAAAAUGUUUUAAUUUAGCAACUAUAGAGCAUCCACAAGGAAGAUAUUAUACGGUUACUAAUUUUCAUUAAAAGAAAAGCUAAGAGACUUGGGAGAAUCACUAUAUAUCCACACCUAUUUCAUUGUAAAUUAUAAUAGUACGUAAUUCAAGGUAUUUGUCUUUUUUUUAAUUAGAGGCUGUUUAUAAUUCAGCUUUGUAAUUUAUUAAUUUUUAUUUUAUCUUUAUAUAAGAUUAAUGUGAUUUAUAGGUUUGUUAAAAUAACUCAAAUUAUACUAGUUUUCAGGUUUGGUGGGAUAUUUUUUGUUUAUUAAUUAAAAGAAAAACUAAAAGGUGUGGGAGAAUUACUAUUCACCCACACCCAUUUCAUUAUAGAUUACAAUAGUAAUCCAAAAUGUUUUGUUUCUUUUGUUUUUUUUCCUUUCCUUUCCUUUUUUUGUUAUCAUUUAAAAAAAAAAAUUUGUCUAUUUCAUAUUUGGGCCAAAUUAGCAUUUAUAUAUAUAUAUAUAUAUUGGGUUGGUGUUUAAUUUUAUAAUUAUCUAUUUUUGUUGUUAUAUUGUUAAAUAAAAAUAAUUUUAAAAAAAAUUAUAAUCCUAGUUGAGUUCAUAACCUGGUUCAUGAGUUUGAUGUGCCAGACCAAGUGACCUGAUUCACAAAUUUGACAGGUUUACCACUGAUCAAAUAUGUUUACCACAAAUUUGUUUCUGGUCUUUUAAUUUUUUUAAUUGAUUUUUUUUAUUUCGUCCUUUAAUAUUAUAUUGGUUUCGAAAUAGACUGCAUGAUUUAUUUUUGUUUGUUUUCUAUAGAAUUAUCACAAUCUUAAAUAAAUAUUUAUCUUAGGGAUAAUACUCAAUUUUAUGAGCAUAUUUUUUUUCAUAUAAUUAAAUAAAAAAAGCUUAUAAAAGAUUACUAAACCCAAUAAAAUCCAUGAUCCGGGUCACAAGGUACCGAGAUCGAUCAAAUCUGUUAUUGUUUCAAUAUUUUUAAAAAAGAUUGUUGUCUAGAGUUUUUUUCUUAAAGCUAAGCCAUGUUUUACUCAUCGUUAUAUUUGGAUAUUGAUCAAUUUAGUUUUCAUAUAAUUUAAUUAAAAAUUUAAAUUAAAUAAAUUAAGGUUAAAAUUUUUUAAUAUUAACUACCAAGACCAGACCAGGUUUAAUAAUAUCGCAAACAAACUUUCUUCACUCUUAAUAUCUUAUAAUAUAAUGUUUGGUAGGCAAAGUAGUGGGUUGCUUCCUAGCAACUUCCUUCCUAUCAAACAAAACAAUAAUUUGUGUAUACUGCAACUUUAUUAUUUUUCUGAAUCAUAUAAUCUUCUCUGUCUGUGAUUUCUCUUCUGUUUUAAUCCUCAGGACGUACUAAUCAUCUUCUACCUCUUUUCCUUUCCACACCUCACCAGUGCGAACUAGAUUUAUGUGAUUUCUCCUCUUUUUUUUUGGCUGAAUACUGCUCAAGCGAACCAGCACUUGAAUCCAGGUAAAUUAUUUGUACUUCAUCUUGUUGGUGUUUUUGUUUGUAUAUAUUUAACUAUAUAUGGUUUGAAUCUUUAAAGGAAUCCAUGAUAAAUAAAUUGAUCUUUUUCUCGGAUUUUAUAAUCCAUGCCUAGUGGAGAGUUCAUACUAAAUUAAUACUGAAUUCAUUGUUUUCGUCUUUUCAAGAUUCUUCGCUGUUUUUAACUCCUUAUUUUAGAUUCACCCUUUUCUUUUCCAAUUAAUGGGACUGCCAUUUAUUUUUAUUCAAUAUUUUUCAACUUUUUUUCUUACAAUGAUUCAAUGAAUUAACUUGAUCAGUAAUUACCUGAAUCUUUUUGAACAAAACAAUAUCUUGCAUUUGUUUUGCUCCCCAAAUUAUGAAUAAAUAGCAGUUGAAACUUGAAAGAGGUUUUUGUUCACCCCGUCAAAACAAUCAGCUCUUCUACCUUCCUUCCCCUGCUUUCUUCAACAGUUAUCCUCUUCUGCAUCUUUCUAUCUAACAUUCUAGAGUUUUAGGAUCUCGUGUCAUAAAAAGAAUUUGAGUAUGAUAAUUUAGCUUUAAAUUCAAAGGGUUAAAUCAUUAACAACAACAUUUAUAUUUCAUAUUUUUCAUCCGAAUUUCUUUAACAAACAAGAAAGUCAUUCAUACAUAUAUAUAUAUAUAUAUAUAUAUAUAUAUAUAUUCUUUUCUGAUCUGUGCUUUCUGUUCUUUUUAAACCUCAGUUCUUUUUCUCUUUUCUGAUCUUUUCUGGUCAGAUGGAAGGGUUCCAACCAUCUUUUAUGGAGGAGGUUGACAACAUGACAUGGGAUCAGCUGGGUUUUCAAUCAGAAGAAGAUACAAGAUACAUUCAAUAUGUCUGAGCUUCUCUCGUACGUCAUUCUUGAGCAUAUUUUAUCAGAAGAUGAUUGCUUGCAAUUUAGUUAUUCUUCAGUUUAUCCUAUUAUUCCCAAAAAAACAAUAUAAUGUCGUCAGUACUGUCCAUGGAAGCAGGCCGCCACCGGAGGUUCCGGUCAACCAAAGCUCCAUAUCAUGCAAUGAUCAAGGUGGACAGAACAAUGUGAUCAACGAUAGUAUUCAACAAACAACUCCGUUUCCAACUUCAUUUCCUGAAACCAUGGCGAGUACUCCAAUUUGCUACAAUGUCCAUUGAAUUAGCAAGUGUUUGUAUUAUACAAAAAGUUUUAUGUUUAGUGUAUCGAUCUCGAGCAUCUUCAAAUUGUUUACUGUUAAACAAACAGACAACAAUUGGGAGAUUUAGACAUUUUUUAUGAUAUUUUUUUUAUCAUUAAGUUUUAUAUAAAAUUGGCCUCAGACUCCAUCAAGGCAUCAUAAUUCCUUUAUUCAUCAACCUCAGCCGGGACAUGGCUAUAUGACACCGAACGCAACCACUUCACAACAUGGUGGUUUCAAUCAACCUGGACCUUCUUUUUCCUGCUACCCGGUAUCCAAUUUUUCAUUUUUAGUAUUUUCUGUUAAAAAAAGAAGUUUUUCAAUCAUUAUUUAACUUCUUCUUUUCUUCCUCUUGUUGUUGUACUUAUCAGUGAAUUCAUUAUGUUUGAAUAUAGGUAUCACCGUAUCAGCUUAAUCCUAAUUUAUUUUAUCCUCAACGUGCCAGUCCCAUGCUACCCGCAUCAUCAAUGCCUUUGAGGUAAGCUAAAAUGAUAUCAAAUGCUUAGUGGAUUAAUAGCAAAGAAUUAUGCAUAUGUACAAAGAAAUCACUAACAAAUGUUGCUAAUUUAGGGACCAAUAAUGGACUAAUUAUCUGUUACCAAUGAGCAAUCAAGUGCCUGCGAUGCUACCUGGACCUCAACCUCCAAUGAAUCAAUGAUAUUAACCUCGAAUAUAUAUACACUUUUUUAAUCAUGAAAACAAUAAACUUGACCAAAAUUGACGAGGAUCUUUCGAGUCUUUUUGAGCUCUCUAUCUCUAUUUUUUUUUGUGCACAUAAUGGAACUAGAAAAUCAACCAAGUUAGAAUAACAGUUCUAAGUUUAGCUAUUUGAAUAUUAUUCAGGCAUCAGUACUCCAAUAUUCAUCAACCACAGCCGGGACAUGGCUAUAUGACACCGAACGCAACCACUUCAGAACAUGGUGGCUUCAUUUAACCUGGACCUUCUUUUCCUGCUCCCCGGUAUCCAAUUUUUCAUGUUUAGUAUAUAUUUUCUAUAUAAAAAAAAUUAGUUUUUCAAUCAGGAAAGAAACAUCAUGGCUAAACAUAUUGUUUGCAAAUGAUUUUGGAUACAGGAGUCAAUAUUUUUCUAAUCAAGGACAAGUCGAUCAAGCUGCUGUAAUUCCUAACUUAGACACUGUGCAACAAGAGAACUUCGUGCCUAGGUACUGAUUGACUUCUAGCUGUUGUGUUUUAACACCAUUAACUUUUACUGCUUAAGAGAGACUACCAAUUAUGGAAAGGUUUUAUAAUAUGAUCACUUCAUUUGUAUAUAGGUCACAGAUGGAUAACCUCCAAGUCCGCGGAUUGCAAAAUCAAAUUGCUAGGCCAAAUGCCUCAAAUUAAUCCUGGCCCUGACACCUCCUUGCAAAGUCAAAUUACGGGCUUAAAUACUCAACAAGUAAGAAGUCUAACUGAAUUAUCGUCGUCUUUUCCCCCUAUGAUUGUGCAAUAAACAAACUAUCAAUUUUAAUAGCAAAAUAAGGGUAACUUCCAUCAAUUUUUAUUCUUUAUUUUGACCCCGGUUUUUUUUUCUAUAGUUCGAAACGGUUGGAUCAAAGUAUCCAUUUCGGAUUCAUGUUGAAUAUAGGGCUGAUGGUAGGAUGAAGUGUAAGUUUUGUCCACAUACAUAUGCCAAGGAUACUUCCAUUUCGAGGAUCAAAUGGCAUUUAUCAAAAGAGAGAGGGCAUAAUGUUGCCAUUUGUCCUGGGGUGACUACAGAAGUUCAAGAAGCAGCCUUUCUAGCUAUAUGUGGUGGCCACAAAAGACAAAAAAUCACAGCAAGUGCAGUCAAUGUUAAUGACUGUGGAAUUUCAACUUGUCUACAAGAACUAAACAUUGAGAAUGAAAAUACGGGAGGAGGUAUUGGAAGGGUACAAAGAGAAGUUCAGGUUGUAGAACCCGGAGUAGUGGAAGAGAGGAUUUCUUCACAUGCAAUAGCAGGAAACGACGUAGUAAGCAUGACCGGAAUGAGAGCACAAGAAGAUAGAGUUUCCGAAGGGGCACUCGAGAGCAGACUGAGGACAGAACCAGUGGAUCAAGCGUUGGAACAAAGCAAUGCAGUACUUGGCAAUAUGGCAGGGGGUGCUGGAAGGAUACAUGUGGGAGUUCAGGGCAUGGAACAAGGUCCAGGAGAAAAUAGAAUUCAGUCGCAUCUACAAGCGGAAAAUGGCAUGGAAAACACUGGUGAAGGAUCUUUUCAGCAUGAUGCAUUUGAGAAUGUACUUAGAACAGAGCAAGUGCAGCUUCUGGAGCCUCAAGGAGAUUCAUCCCAAUUUUGUCUUGACAUUGGAAGAUGUGAUGAUCAAACUUGUGCUCCAUAAGUAAACGAUGAUGUAAAUAGGCAUGAUGCGCUGGACAUGGUUAGAGUGAGGACAGAACCAGUGGAGGAUGAUGAUGUGGAGAAUAGUGGAAGAUCAGUAGUGCAGGCUGGCGCAGGAGCUAGAUCUUCUGAAAGUCUGAAAUACAACAAGACUAGAGGAGUUCCAUUACCUACUAGCUCAACAAAGCCAGUGGGUCGAGCAUUCGAAGAGAAUACAAAGGUGAUAUGGUCUUUGUUAAUGAAUGGGAAAGUCUCAACUAUUGGCAUUUAUGGGAUGGGGGGAGUUGGUAAAUCCAUAAUACUGCAAUAUAUUUAUAAUGAGCUUCUACAAAGACAAGAUAUUUGUGAUCAUGUUUGGUGGGUGAUUGUGUCUCGUGAUUUCAGCAUUAAUAGAUUGUAGAAUCUUAUUGCUAAACAUCUUGAUCUAAACCUUUCAAGCGAAGAUGAUGAUCUGUAUAGAGCUGCUAAAUUGUCAGAAGAACUAAGGAAGAAACAAAAAUAGAUUCUCAUUUUAGAUGAUUUGUGGAACAAUUUUGAGCUUGAGGAAGUGGGAAUUCCUGAGAAGUUGAAAGGAUGCAAGCUGAUUAUAACAACUCGAUCAAAAACGAUUUGUCAUCGGAUGGCUUGCCACCCCAAAAUCAAAGUGAAGCCACUUUUCGAGGGAGAGGCUUGGACUUUGUUCAUGGAGAAACUUGGACGUGAUGUAGCACUUUCACCAGAAAUGGAAGGAAUUGCGAAAGCUGUUGCAAGGGAAUGUGCUGGUUUACCACUGGGAAUUAUUAUAGUGGCAGGAAGCUUGAGGGGAGUGGAUGAUCUACAUGAGUGGAGAAAUACAUUGAAGAAAUUGAGAGAAUCAGAAUUUAGGGACAUGGAUGAGAAGGUAUUCAAGUUAUUGAGGUUUAGUUAUGAUCGGUUAGGUUAUUUAGCACUACAACAAUGUCUCUUGUACUGUGCAUUAUUUCCUGAAGAUGAUAUGAUUGAAAGGGAGGAGUUGAUAGGUUAUUUGAUCGAUGAGGGAAUAAUUAAAGGAAAGAGGAGCAAGGGAGAUGCAUUUGACGAGGGCCACACAAUGCUUAAUAGACUUGAAAAUGUCUGUUUAUUGGAAAGUGCAAAAAUGGAGUAUGUUGCUAGGAGAUUUGUCAAGAUGCAUGACUUGAUUAGGGACAUGGCCAUCCAUGUACUGCUGGAGAGCCCUCAAUACAUGGUUAAAGUAGGUGCGCAAUUAAAAGAGUUGCCAGAUGUAGAGGAGUGGACGGAGAAUCUGACGAUAGUUUCAUUAAUGCAAAACGAGAUCGAAGAAAUUCCUUCUAGCUAUUCACCAGUGUGUCCAAAUUUGUCAUCUCUAUUUCUAAAUUAUAAUGACGGGUUGCGAUCUAUUGCGGAUUCAUUUUUCAAGCAAUUGCAUGGGCUCAAGGUCCUCGAUCUGUCUUGGACAGGUAUUGAAAAAUUGCCAGACUCUGUCUCUGAUUUGGUGAGUCUCACUGCGUUAUUGCUCAAUAAUUUAGAGAACUUAAGACAUGUUCCAUCAUUAAAGAAGCUCAGGGCACUAAAGAGGUUGGAUCUCUCUCGUACUUCACUUGAAAAGAUGCCGCAAGGAAUGGAAUGCCUAACCAACCUGAGGUAUCUUAGAAUGAAUGGAUGUGGUGAAAAGGAGUUUCCUAGUGGGAUAUUACCAAAACUCUCUCACCUGCAAGUCUUUGUACUAGAAGAGUUUAUGGUGCGAGGUGCUGCUCCGAUAACAGUUAAAGGAAAGGAAGUAGGAUCCUUGAGAAAUUUGGAAACUUUGGAAUGCCAUUUCGAAGGUUUCUCUGACUUCGUGGAGUAUCUCAGAUCUCGGGAUGGGAUCCUAUCAUUAAGCACAUACAAAAUUUUAGUAAGAGAGGUGGAUGGAGAUUUUGGGAAAUGUAUUAAUAAUUUUCCAAGUAAAACAGUUGGGUUGGGUAAUUUGAGUAUCAACGGAGAUAGAGAUUUUCAGGUCAAGUUCUUAAAUGGCAUUCAAGGAUUGGCUUGUAAACGCAUCGAUGCAAGAAGUUUAUGUAAUGUUUGGUCAUUAGAGAAUGCAACUGAACUGGAGCACAUCAACAUUUUAAAUUGCAAUAGCAUGGAGAGAUUGGUUUCAUCUUCUUGGUUCUGCUCUGCUCCACCACCAUUGCCAUCAUAUAAGGGUGUCUUUUCUGGUCUUAAAGAGUUUUAUUGUAGUGGAUGUAACAGUAUGAAGAAGUUGUUCCCACUUGAGUUGCUGCCAAACCUCGUAAACCUGGAAAUGAUUUAUGUUUGUGAUUGUGAGAAAUGGAGGAGAUAAUAGGAACAACAGAUGAAGAAAGCAGCACCUGCAAUUCCAUCACGGAGUUAAUACUCCCAAAGUUAAGAACUCUGAGAUUGCAUGAAUUACCAGAACUGAAAAGCAUUUGCAGUGCAAAACUGAUUUGCAAUUCUCUUGAAGAAAUUAGGGUAAUGUAUUGUGAGAAGCUGAAGAGGAUGCCAAUUUGUCUUCCGUUGCUUGAAAAUGGCCAGCCAUCUCCUCCCCCUUCUCUUAAAAAAAUCAAAGCAAUUCCAGAAGAAUGGUGGGAGCAUCCUAAUGCAAAGGAUGCCCUUCGUCCCUUUGUAAAGUUAGGGUAUUGUUAAUCCUUCCAUUGUAAGAAUACUAAUUGAUUGUAACCUUAAAUUUGCUGAUAUUCAAUAAUAUAUCAUUCUUUCAAUCAUUUUUGUUAAAAAUCAUGUGCAAAACAUAAUUAUUUUCGAUAUGAAUGAUGAAAAUAGUCCUUUAAAUCAACAAAGGAUAUUCUUAUUAAUUAAUAUUGAAAUUACUUGCACAAUUAAUCAACAAUGGUUUGAAAUGGUAUUGCCAAUUCCAUAUUUCAAAGAAAAAUCCAAAGAACGGAAAGCAUAAAUUAAGCCCAACACAUGAAUAUGAGCAGUACAUUAAAUUUAGUUGUUGUCAUAGAAAUUGUGAUAAUUAAAUUAAUACAACAUAGAAAGUUUGUUAAGCAAACUUGAUAAAUCUAAUUACACAAAUCUAACUUAAUACAUAUAAAAGUUAGUUUGUGAAGAUUGAAUACCUGGUCUUAAUUUGCCUCAUCAACUAGGCAGAGAGUAACAACGUACACCCUUUUAAAAUCAAAAGCUAAAUUAUUACUCUUUGAGGUUACUUAAAUUAAAUAUUGGUAUGUAGCUUUUAUUCAUUUAUUUUUAAAUAUUGACCUUAAAAAAAUAAUGAAUUUAUAAUUAAACCAAAUAAAAUAUUAAUUUGGUAAAAUUUGAUCGAUUCAAUCAAACCAAUCUAGUUCAUAUCAUACCAGAAUAAUAAAAAAACAAAAUAAUAUUAUUUUAAUAAAAAUAAUUAAUUUAAAUUAACUUAAUAAAUGACUCAUAAAUUAUUAAAUAUCUAAUAUUAUAUUAAAAAAUUAUCUUAAACCAAAUAAAUUAAGUAGACUUAAAAAUGUUAUAAUGUUACUUUCUGAUAAUUUAGUAAGGAUUUGGAGAAUGUAUAUUCAAAAACAAACUUUAUUAAAAGAUUAAGUUAUUUCAACAAUCUGAGUCCAUUAAGAAAUUGGUGGUAAAUCAUAACAAAAACAUUAUUUUUGAUAUUUUUAUUGGUAAAAUAUAGGUAUAAUCGUAGUACACUAUGUUGUCAAACAGGCAUAAGUCUUGAAUUUUUAUUUAUUUGAAAAUUGAAAAGGCAUGUAUACUAUUAUGGACUGAGAUAGUAUUUGAUAUUAUGAUAAUACUUAUUUUUUAAUAUAUUUUUUAUUUAAAUUUUAUUUUUUAAAUUUUAUUUUUUGUAUUAGUAUAUUAAAAUGAUAUAAAAAUACUAAAACAAAUUAAUAUAAAACAAAAAAUAUUCAAGUUUUUUAAAAAACAGGUAUUACAUUGAAAACAAAUAAUGUCUCAGUCAUAUAAUACAUCAAAAGUCUGUUUACUGUACCAAGUGAUUGUUGGCAAUCAAUUCCUGGAUCAAGACGAUAAGGUCCAGCCAUGGAGUAAUUGGAUUGAAAAAUAAAAUAAAAAUAAAAACUAAUAAUCUACAGAAUGGGUUCAUGUUAAUUGAGGAUGAGGUCUGAUGCUUUAAACCCUGAGGUAAAACCUCAUGCAGCUACCGACUUAAAUAUUUUCAUUUAAGGAAGUGCAGCGUUGUGUCCCGAGAGAGGCCACCAGGCAAAUACCAAGGUUAUUUUUUAUUUUAUAUUGUAAAUUUAUUUUUUAAAAAAUAAAUUUGUUUUGAUUUGAUUUUUUUUGAAUAUUUUCAGAUCAUUUUUAUAUAUAAGUAUCAAAAAUAAAUUUUAAAAAAUAAAAUAAAAUUAUUUUAAUAUAUUUUUAAAUUAAUAAUAUUUUAAAAAUUAAUCAUUAUUGUAAUUCUAAAUCGACGGUGCCUGUACCAAACUAUAUUAUCAACAAGAUUUUCCUUGUAUGAAUUAAAGCAUUCUGCAUUUGACACAACUUGAAAAACACGUUUCUUCUUAAAUUAUUAUACCUGUGUUUUUUUAAAUCUAAAUAUUUGAGAAUGUGGUUGUUAAGCGGCUAAGAUCUUCUGCAUCGGAUGUACAGGAACCGUAGAUAGACCAUUACCCAGCACCGCCAGAUACUCUCUCCAAUUUUUAUUAUCUUUAUUAGAGGGAGACUUCUUUUAUUUUUUUUCUUAUUUCAAUGCGUUGAUUAUAAAAUGAACGGACGGGAUUGGAUAUGAAUUAAGGGGAGAUGGAUUUUGUCAUUACUAUAUAUUACUCGAUUGAUUAAUAUUCAUAUAAGUUUAUUUACUAUUUAUUUUGUUAUUGGUUGGGCUUUUUGGUCAAAAUGUAAAGGGAGUGUUCUGUUGAGGUCCACUGAUGUUUCAAUUAUUCUCACACAGGAAAUCUAAAAAAUCUAAAGACCAGCCUUUUCUUUUUGUCUUGACAAAACUACCCUUGUGAAAAUCUAUAGUCUAUUUCUUCCUGUUAGAUAGGUUCCAGUGGUGUAGAACCACGUGUCCGACACAAAUUGCAGAGAGUGAGCCAACUGUUUAUGGCCUGUUUGUUUCUGACUUCUGUGUUUCAAAAACACUUUUAAUAAAAUUUAAUUUUUUUUAUUUUUUUAUUAACUUUAAAUUAAUAUAUUUUUAGUGUUUUCAAAUUAUUUUGAUAUGCUGAUGUCAAAAAUAAUUUUUAAAAAAUAAAAAAACAUCAUUGGCAUGCAUUUUGGCACGAAAAACUAUUUGAAAAGCAACCGCAACAAUACUGCUAAACAAGCUCUAUAAUGAUGAUGUCCGACUCUUUUUUACAUUAGAAAACGAAUUGCCUGUUAUUUUUAAAAUAUUUUUAAAAAAUUUAUUUUUAAUAUUAGUAUAUUAAAAUAAUAUUAAAAUAUCAAAAAAUAUUAAUUGGAAAUAAAAAAACAUUUUCAAAUUUAAAAAAAAAACUUUUAAAACACAAAAAUAAAUUCUUCCUAAAUUUUUUUUCAUAUUUUUCCAAUCUGUCCUUGCCAUAACUAAAAACCAGCUUGGAGGCUUGGCAGGGUUUGCAUCUGAUGAAGCUCAUCAAUAUAUAUAUAUAUAUAUGAUUUAUCCAGAAAUCCAUUUCAUAGAAUAGAAAAAUGGUUCGGUUUGAAGUUUGAUUCAUGCUAAUGUCUUGUCGUAAACAUGUCAAAAGUAAUCUUCUACCUCAGUGAAUUUGAGUACAGGUACUGCACACAAGAUGGAGCACUCUUCCCCUUUCCAACCUUGCUUAAUUCAUCAAAAUCUAAUUCUUGUUUAUCAACUCGGUUUGGGAAAAUAACUGAAAAACUCUGUUAAAUGAGUUCUACGAAGUAGUAGCACUGUAUGCACUAAGGAGAUCAAAUGAGGAAGGCUAAGAAUUAUGAUUCUUCCUCUGAGAGAUUAUGAACUGAACAUUCAUUUUCUAUUGAAUGAGUUUUGGUUCCUAAACCUGAAACUGUCAUCAUAAGCAAUAGCCAAGGAAGUUAGGAUGAGCUUUUUUUGUAAUUAUAUCACAUUUUUCUGCACAAUAAUGCUCUAUAUUUUUUGCUACUAUUGCUUAUAAUCUUCUUGUCUCUAGUAUCUUUUCCAACCUGUUUGAGGAAUGCUUUCUAAUUUUUUUUCUUGGAUUAUAAAUUUUGUGUUCACCUGCACAGUUGAACAGAGUUGACCUAGAAAUCUAGGAGUUAUUGGUGAUAGAGGAUCUGAGACUUAUUAUUCUAUAAAUUUUCUUUCUGAAUGCUGAGUAUUUUAUACGAUCAUGUGAUUGGGAAGAUUUGAUUCUCAUAUGAUUCUUGCCGGCUUAUUUGUGAGCCAAGAAGUAUUAUUGAAUAGAAAUACUUUCAUUCUUUAUUGUCGAAUUGGACAUUUAUUUCCUGAGUUUUCUUCUCCAUUUCAUUUAAUUUACGAAGCGUUUCAUAAUUGUUUUUUGAUUUUAUUAAAUUUUUACAUGAUAAUUUAUCAGAUAAUUUUAGCAGGAGUCCUUAUAUAUGUAUACCGGUGAUCAGAAAGUCAUUCCCAUAAAAAAGAUGAAGUAGUAUGAACAAUUUUAUUGUUAUUUUUGGUUUCUGCUAACGAUUUAUUUGAUGAUUAAUAUCGAUUUAUUUCCACUUUCUAGUAUACCAUAGUAGCCUAGGUGUGUUUUUUCCGAAAUGGUUAUGAGCAUUUUUCCAAUCUGCUGGGGGUGAUGUUGGUGGGCUUGGGCUAAGAGCAUGGUUAUUUUUUCCAAUCUGCUUGGAUACAAGGCCGUCAAAAAAAGGUUCAUCGUAUCCCUAGCUAGUUGGGUGUCUCAUUUCUAGCUGGCUACGUUUAAGUUUUAUUUUUUUAAUCGUCAGAUAAUAAUAUAAAAAUUUUAAUGAUCAAAUGAUAGUUAAAAUUUUAUCAUUCUUAUUUAUUUAAUAAAAUUAAGUAUAAAAUAAUAUGAAAUUGAGUAAAUUUCAAGUCCAAAGAGUUUUCACUUGAGGGGGUAUAUUGAAAAAUAAUUUAAAUUAUAUUUUGAAAUCUUACCUAACACUUUAAACUUUUAGAUUGAAAUGGUUAUUUGAUAUGAUAUUAAAGUCUUAAUGACUAAACGUUCAUGAAUUUGAAUUUCAUCAUCCUUAUUUAUUUGAUAAAAAUUAAGUAUAAAAUAAUAUGAGUUUGCAAGCCUAGUUCAAAUCUCACAUCUUUAUUUAUUUAAUAAAAAUUAAGUACAAGACAAUAUAGAUCUGUAAGUCUAAAAGAUUUUUAGUUGAAGAAGUGUUUUAAAAAAUAAUAUAAAUUAUAUUUUAAAUUUUUUUAAUAAUUUAAAUUAUUAAAUUAAAAUAAUUAUCAUGAUAAUGACAUAAAGUCAAUAGCAGAACAGCAGGAAAAUGACAGGCUAGAAUGUUCAACUCAUGAAUGCUAGAGUUAAGACAGUACUCGCUACAACUUAAACAGAGCUUAGCACUCUAAUUCUGCAGAGAUUUAUAUUCCAUUAAGCAUUUUUUUCCCCUUUCAGACAUGAACGACACCUGGAUCAGUUCUUGGGGCCAAAAUUAGAUUUCUAGUGGAAGAUAACUAAAACUAAUUUUUCUUUCUUUUGGUGACCAUUUAUAGAUAUCAUCACUGCAAUGAAUAAACAUGGUCCCAUUGAUGUAAAGGGACGGACACCAACCUUUUUGGCUAGACAGAGUCUGGUUGAUCUCUUAAAUGGUGCGAGCCACUUGCAUAAGAGAUGACAACUUUACACUUACCCUUUAAUUAUGGUCCCAUUGAUGUAAAGGGACGGACACCAACCUUCAUAACUUGUGAGCUUCAAAUACGAACCAGGGUUAUUAUUCUCUCUUCUUCUUCUUUUUUUUUUUUUUUAAUCAUGAAUUAUGGUACUAUCUAAUUUUAUUCUUUUUUUAUUAUUAUUUUAUAGUUUUUUUUCACAUUAUUUUUCAAUUAUGUCUCAAGUUUUUUUAUUUUAUUUAAUUUGAUCCUCAUUUUUUUUAUUGUUUUUUUUUUAAUUUUUUUAUUCAAUCCCUCAUUAUUUUCCUUCAUUUAGUUUUUAUACUAAAUUUGAUCCUUAAAGUUUUGAUUACUAUUUGAUUUAUUUUUUAAAAAAUAAAAUUAGAUGAUUAGAAAUUUAGCUUCGUGAUUUUUUUUGUGUUGCCUUCUAUGAGGCGAUAUUGGUCUCAUAACCCGAGUUUCAAAGAUUAGUUCAAUUUACCUUUAGUUUUUUUUAAAGUUAUUUACAAAAAAAAUGAUUUUUUUUUCAAUAUCCUUCAAUAUUGGGUUACUGGGCCUUGAGUUUUAUGAUUUUUUUACAUGCAGGCUUAUCCCGGUCAUGAUUUGGCAUCCUAACUCGAGUCGUGUUUUUUAUUCUUUUUUGAAAUUGAUGUUUUUUUCCAGUUUAUUUUUCAACUUUUGUUUUGCUGGUAAGCAUCAUAUUUCUUUUAUUUUUCUUUUCAUGAGGUUAUCUUAUUUUCAUUGAAUUUUUAUGUUGUAAUCAAAUAAGAUCGUUAAGACCUUUUUAAAAAUAUUUAGAGCGUAUCUUUUUAUAAUAUUGACAAGCGUUCAUUUUUUAUGAUUAAUUAUUUUUUUAAUCAUUUAUAUAUUUAUAUAUAUAAUUAUAUUAUUAAGUUAAUCGAGUUUAUUAAGUUCAAUCAAAUCAAUAACCCGGAUUUGAAAUUUUUUUUUGUUGCUUUUAGAAAGCUGCUAUUAUUAGGAUAUCUUUGUUAUUUUAACAAAAAUAAUUCAAAAAACAGCGUAGCACUACGCACAUAGGCACCCACCACUUUAGCAAAUUGGAUAUACCACUUGCUUCAUUGGUUUGGAUAAGGGCUAGCUUCGUACAGAGAAAAAAAUGAACAAAGGUACGCAGUAGAUGAAGAAGAUUGAUUUACUGCAAUUAUUGUCAAAAUACAAACGUGAGCACAAUAAUUUAAUUUGUACAGGAUGCUUUUAUAUAUAGAGUAGUAAUUUAAUUAUUGCUUUUUCAUCACUUAUUUCUUUCCAUGAAUCCAAUAUUCCUUAUUUAUAUAUAUAUUGAUUGUUUCUGAUACAAGGUAGCUGUAGUUUUCUUCUAUAAGAGGUCUACCAUAGCUGUAGUUUCCUUCUUUGAGAAGUAACCGUUGGUUGAGAUAGCUGUUGAUUUCUUAUUGAUUUAUCUUUGAUCUGCCACAGUUAUGAUUUCCAUGUAUGUUUGAUUACAAUUCUAAAUAGUAGCCGUUGGAGGUGUUAAUUCAUAUUGUGUUAAUUCAUACUGCUGUUGUCUCCUGCUGCUGCUGCAGAGGUGUUGUGUUGCUGUUAAUACCUGUUGGGGAUUCCGGCACCCCCAUGCGCGGACCGGGGGUGUACUGAUAUUUGCUCAUAGGAGGGUAAAGCACACUGACACAAUAUUUUACGUGGUUCGGCAAAACCGCCUACAUCCACGGGAGAGAGUCCAUAUUAUUAGAGAUAUAUAUAGAGAAAGGAUUACAACAUACAUGGAGGAGGAGGAUCACUUCACUCAAACUCAACUCCCAGCUCUUUUGCUGCACUUGCAGCUGCUGCAAUGGCAGCAAGGCUGCUGCCAUUGCAGCUCUCUUUCUCUCCACUCUCUUGCACACACUCACGUUCUCUCUCUCAUUUUGCUCUCACAUAAUGCCUCUAUUUAUAGGCAUUUCAUGGCAGCUGUUCCACUUGUUCUGCUGUCAAACAUGGCUGCAAGGUUAGGCAUGGUAGGUUGCCUAACCAUGGAAAAUGGUGGCUGCCAAUAGUCAAUGGUUGGUGCCAACCAUUUGCUGCACAUGCAAUGGCAACAACCCAACAAUCACCCCCUUUGCCAUUCAUGUGGGGCAACUGUCCUCUUGCUUCUUCAUCACAGGCUUGCAUCUUGCAGCUCUUCCAAGCUUACCAUUCUGAGAGCAUCUUCGGCUAAGUUUACAUGGUACUCGCCAAACCUUUCAAUCACCAGAGUCACCAAAGCACACCUUUUCUCACACAAAAGGAUCACUACAACCAGAUGGUCUGUCACUUCACAUCUGAAGAGUGUUAACGCUUGUCUCUGGGACACACUGCAUUCCCCUUCGAGCGUAUCAACCAUGCUCGGUCCGGAAUGAUUCAUCAAGCCUUACACCAAGGCUUACAACACCCCCUCAAACGAAAAUUUCUAUUUCCAAGUGCGACAGUCAUUAUCUGAGUAUCUCAAUAUGAUCACGAGCUCACCACUCUUCCAAGAGUCUACUCAUCCAGGAGUUGCGCCUGCCCUCUGUUCCACCCUAGGAACCACACCUUACUUCUCCGUGAGUCUCUCGCUCUUAGUCUCAAGAGUCCAGGUAGCUCUCCACCUUCACCUAUAGGGGCAGCCCAUUAAAGGUUGAUCCAUAUAUGUCUUGAUACUGAGUAUUACAAUGCCUUUACUGAGCUCACCACCUUGACAAGAGUCAACUUGUUCAGGGAACCUGCACAUGCCCUCUGCUCCUUCAUAGCAGCCGCGUCUUAAUGCUCCACAAGUCACACACUUAUUGUCCAAGGCAAAUGUCUUCUAGCUCAUUGAUCUUUAGCAUGGGGGCAAUAUCCAUGAAAGUCAAUCCUGCAUUUGUCUUCAUACUCAUCAUAGCCACUUCAUUGGCUAUCCAUACACUUGUCCACUCAUAUCUAGCCAUUACAUUGGCUCUGGGGCGUUCUGAAUUUGGGCUCCUAUCGUGGCCCAUACACCUUCUCUAAGGUGUCUUCGCCCGUUGCCGUAGGGCGGUCUGAAUUGGGCUCCUAUCAUGGCCCUCACACCUUCUCCAAGGUGUCUUCGCCUGUUGUCGUGGGGCGGUCUGAACUGGGGCUCCUAUCAUGGCCCUCACACCUUCUCCAAGGUGUCUUCGCCCGUUGUCAUGGGGCGGUCUGAUUUGGGGCUCCUUUCAUGGCCCUCACACCUUUCAUUUAAGGUGUCUUCGCCUUUCAUAGGCGGUCGCAUCCUCCUUCAGCUGAGAUGCUUCAAAGUGGCUCUAAAAGUCUCUACCACCAUGUGGACUAUGGGAGAGAUAACUGCCACUGAUUACAUAGAAAGAGAAACUUGCGGUAUACUCCUCGCAAUCCUCCACCUCGAUUUCUAUGUUUGGAGCUUCUGUGUCUUUCUGCUUGACAGCUCCACCUACACCAACUCUCUUUGGUGUCUUCGCCUUUCAUCAUAGGCGGUCGCCUUUUAUCACAAGCGUUUGCACCCCCUCAAUUAAGUGCAUCUGCAACAGCUCUCUUUCCAUCCUUGCAUGCAUUGGAAAGGUCUUCGCCUGUUGUCUUCAUCAAGAGCAUAAGAGACUUCCUGUUGUACAAACUUUAACAGUCUCUGCUCUAAGCUUCAUCUGGGAACACUUCUUCUCCUUGCACCUAUUGUCUCAUUAUAGUACCUCAUUGGAUCCUACGGGUACUCCUGCACAAUCUCCGUGUGCCCUCGUGCAAUUUCUGUUCUCCAGAUUUUUCCCCUAUUCCUUGCUUAUGUUUGACAGCAGCUCAUCCUGUCAUAACACCUAUCCAAGUCAAAAUAGGGUGCCAAUCUUUAUCCCUUGCCGUAUUUCUCUACCAUUAUCAGGGUCUUCAUCAAUAUUUGUUGUGCAUACUGGACCGAAAGCAAACACAAAAAUAACACAAACAAGCAGAUUUACGUGGUUCCCAAAACCGGGUACGUCCACGGAGGCAGCAGAUUGUAUAUUAAUGGAGGAAUGAUACAAACACUCAACUCAACCCAAUACAACCCACAAAAACCAGUGUUUCACUCUUACACUCGUUUCUCUCAAAUCUACACUUGCACUCACUCUCACAGUUGCAUUCACUUGCACUCACCACUGCACUCUCUAUGUCUUCUCUCGUCUCUCUUCUUCAUAAACUUGUCCUCCAGUGCUUGCCAUAAUUCCUUUGUAGAGUUUUGUUCUGAAAAGGCGUACUUCUGAUCCUUUACAAGACAAAGUCGGAUGGAACUGCAAGCCAACCGAUUUAUCCUUUCCCAGCUUUUAUCAUCCAAAUCCUCCGGUUUAUCUUCUAAAGUGAAAUCCAAAUUCAUUUGGACAAGCAUAUCCAUGACUUCACAUUUCCACAUGCCAAAAUUAUCUUUCCCAUCAAACUUCUCCACCUCAAAUUUGGUAUUCGAUACCGGGAUGUAUUGUGGAGGUAUACUAGCAUUCCCCGCUGAUUUUUCUUCUGGAAUAUCAGCCAUUAGGACGUCUUUGGAUUACAAAUGGAAUCCCGAAAUUGUUAAAACACACACUUUUAUGCUCAAAAGUGCCAAAACAGUAACUUCGGUAUGCUAUUUAACAAAACGGACACCACGGUUGCGUCCGGAAUGGUUGAAAAUGCUAGGAACCAACUUGACUCGGCCAAAAACGGGUCAAAAAAUCACUGAGUUGGCCAAAAAACCAAUCUGACCGAGUUGACUCAGGGAAGGAAUAUUCUGUCUCUGAUAAAGAAUAUUCUGUCACGGGAAUAUUCUCUUACUGGUAACGGAAUAUUCUUAUUCUGUCAAGAGAAUAUUCUGUCACUGUUAGAUGACAUGGCUGAUGACGUGUCUGAUGACAGGGCGAUGUGGCCCCUCUGUUGAUGACGUGGAUGCUGACUCAGCGCCUACGUGUCGGAUGACGUGGCUGUCUUCUCAGACGAGAAUUCCGGCAAUGACUGGUUUUUCCGGCAGAUUUCCGGCGAAACUUCGGCGAGCUCUACAGGGCUCGUUUCAACUCCGAUUGCGACGAUCUUUAUAUCGCCGGACUCGUAUGAACGAGAGGAAUCUCCGCAGCUGGUCAAAAGCAAGAUCUGAGAACUUUGAAAAUUCUGCAACUUUGAACAGAGAGCUAAAAAACGUGUUUUUCUGCGUUUAAGCUUCCCUAAUGCUCUGAUACCAAUUUGUUGUGCAUACUGGACCGAAAGCAAACACAAAAAUAACACAAACAAGCAGAUUUACGUGGUUCCCAAAACCGGGUACGUCCACGGAGGCAGCAGAUUGUAUAUUAAUGGAGGAAUGAUACAAACACUCAACUCAACCCAAUACAACCCACAAAAACCAGUGUUUCACUCUUACACUCGUUUCUCUCAAAUCUACACUUGCACUCACUCUCACAGUUGCAUUCACUUGCACUCACCACUGCACUCUCUAAGCUUCAUCUGGGAACACUUCUUCUCCUUGCACCUAUUGUCUCAUUAUAGUACCUCAUUGGAUCCUACGGGUACUCCUGCACAAUCUCCGUGUGCCCUCGUGCAAUUUCUGUUCUCCAGAUUUUUCCCCUAUUCCUUGCUUAUGUUUGACAGCAGCUCAUCCUGUCAUAACACCUAUCCAAGUCAAAAUAGGGUGCCAAUCUUUAUCCCUUGCCGUAUUUCUCUACCAUUAUCAGGGUCUUCAUCAAUUCUCCCCUCGAGAAAUCACAGUCACCGAAUCUAACUUCUUUGGAUAAAUCACCACUUCAUCAGAUCCUUGAUCAUACGGAACCCAACUGUUCCCUUGUGCCGUCAUCCUGCUAGUCUUCAACUGUUUCAUUACAAACUGCUAUAUAUACGAAAAUAGUACCGUAUGGAUAAUCCUUCCACUAAGCAAGUUCCCAGGAAAGAUUGGAGGGGUCACACUGGUCCCGCUUAAAACCCAAUCUCCUAGACAGAACUUCUUAGGCCAUAUCUAUCCAUCGUACUGUCUUUCCGUAUAUACAACCAUUUGCUAGCUUUGUCCCGGCCUUCCUUUACAAGUGAUCUGGAAUAUACUGGUUUAAUACAUGAUUUCUCAACAUCUGGUGAGACUACCAGUUCUUAGAUUCGUCAAGAUUGGUCUUCGUCAAUUUCCACUCUUCACCUCAAAUUGUCCACAUGAUCGGGUGUCCAGAGUGUCCCAAUUUUGCCUUCCUUCAAAGCAAUUAAAAUUCUCCCCACUUAGCAUUUUAGCACAUAUAAUUGGGUAAACAUGUGCACCUUCUUCUUCUUCAUCAUCAUCGACCACCACGAUGACCUUUAGAUGCCUCCUAAUCGGGCAAUCUCUUUUGUUAAUUCACCACCACCACUUUUGGUCUCAAAUCUCAAUGAUCGGACCGUACCAUUGCAUCCGGAACGAUCAAAUUAGCUGGAAACAAGUCUGAAAUCGUCCAAAUCGCAUUUCAGACGGCUAAGAUUUGAUCAAAACAAUUCUGGCCUGAUGAACGGCCCAGAUUCAAUCUCAGAUCCGGUUGCACGUAGACUCCGCUGCACAGAAUCUUAUCCUUUGGCUCGCGGCUCGGCUCGGCUCCUUUUUGGCUCAGCUCGGCUCAACUCAGCUCGGCUCAGUUCGGCUUGAGUCUGGUGACGUGGCAGGUGGGUCCCACUUUGGUGACGUGGCUGUUGACUGGACGCUGACUGGUCUAUGACGUGGCUGCUGACAUGGCAUGCCUACUGUGCAUGCUGACAUCACACUUACAUCAGGCUGAUGUCAUCCCUGGCAUGCCUACUGUGCAUGCUGACAUCACAAUUAUGUCAUGCUGACAUCAUUCAUAUCCGGGUCAGUCACAUGGGUCGGGUGAACUGGUAUUCGGGUCGCGUGGCACGCGUGGGGCGCGUCUGCGCGCAUGGGCAGACGCCUUGCCGGAGAGUGAUGGAGAGUGCGGCCAUGUCCGACGUCCGAUUUUGACGCCGUUUUCACCAGUGGCUUCGUCUUGACCUCCUCUACACAGUGGUAUGGUCAAAACACAAUUUUGACAACUUUCAUUUUUGAGCAAAAAUCAAACACCCCUUUAAACCAUCAGCUCUGAUACCAAUUGUUGGGGAUUCCGGCACCCCCAUGCGCGGACCGGGGGUGUACUGAUAUUUGCUCAUAGGAGGGUAAAGCACACUGACACAAUAUUUUACGUGGUUCGGCAAAACCGCCUACAUCCACGGGAGAGAGUCCAUAUUAUUAGAGAUAUAUAUAGAGAAAGGAUUACAACAUACAUGGAGGAGGAGGAUCACUUCACUCAAACUCAACUCCCAGCUCUUUUGCUGCACUUGCAGCUGCUGCAAUGGCAGCAAGGCUGCUGCCAUUGCAGCUCUCUUUCUCUCCACUCUCUUGCACACACUCACGUUCUCUCUCUCAUUUUGCUCUCACAUAAUGCCUCUAUUUAUAGGCAUUUCAUGGCAGCUGUUCCACUUGUUCUGCUGUCAAACAUGGCUGCAAGGUUAGGCAUGGUAGGUUGCCUAACCAUGGAAAAUGGUGGCUGCCAAUAGUCAAUGGUUGGUGCCAACCAUUUGCUGCACAUGCAAUGGCAACAACCCAACAAUACCCUCCCUCAAACGUUGCUGAGGUUGGAGGCAAAGUUUGCGCUGAAAACAAAGGAGAGUAGCUUUGGACACCGGCUUAGUAAACAGGUCAGCGAUCUGAUGUGUAGUGGGAAUAUGAUGUGUAAUAAGUUUCCCAAGAGAUACGCGUUCGCGUAUAAAAUGAUAAUCAAUUUCAAUAUGCUUGAUGCGAGCAUGGAAAACAGGAUUGAUUGUCAUAUGGAGCGCAUUAAGAUUAUCACAAUAAAGCACUGGUGGAGAUACCAAGGGAAUGUGUAAAUUAUGAAGGAUGUAGGUCAACCAGGUAAGUUAUGCGGCUGUGUUGGCCAUAGCACGAUAUUCAGCUUCAGUGCUAGAGCAUGAAAUGAUAUGUUGUUUAUUGGCACAUCAAGAGAUGAGAUUACUUUCAAGAAAGACACAGUUGCCAGUGGUAUAACGUUAUAUAGUAAGACAGCCAGCCCAAGGAGAUGAGAUUUAUAUUCCAUUUAGCAUUUUUUCCCCCCUUUCAGACAUGAACAACACCUGGAUCAGUUCUUGGGGCCAAAAUUAGAUUUCUAAUGGAAGAUAACUACAACUAAUUUUUCUUUAACCAUUCAACUCGUUUGGUGACCAUUUAUAGAUAUCAACACCUGGAGUUCUAUUUCGCCACUUGAUGGAAUGGAUAGAUUAAUGUACGACCUUAUUGGCUAGACAGAGUCUGUUCGAUCUCUUAAAUGGUGCGAGCCACUUGCAUAAGAGAUGACAACUUUACACUCGCCCAUUAAUUAUGGUCCCAUUGAUGUAAAGGGACGGACACCAACCUUCAUGACUUGUGAGCUUCAAAUACGAACCAGGGUUAUUAUCCUCUCUUUUUUUUUCAUUAAUUAUGGUACCAUCCAAUUUUAUUUUUAGUUUUUAGUUUUUUUAUUUUUGUUUUCUAUGGGGUGAUCUUGGUUUCACAACCCGAGUCACGAGUUUUAAAAAUUAGUUUGAUUUACUUUUAGUUUUCAUGAUUUUCUUCGUUUUUUUAUAGGGUUAUUUCGGUCUAAUAUCCUGGGUCACGAGCUAGUCGAGUUAACCUAGGUUGACACUUAUUUUUUUUUUUUUUUCAGUUUUGCCUUUCAUUAUUUAGUUUAUUUGAGAGUUGAACUCUAUUGUUUUAUUUGAUUUCUUAUAUGCAGGCUUAUCCCCGUCAUAAUUUAGCAUUUUAAUUCGAGUCGUGUUUUUUAAUUUUUUUUUAAUUGAUGUUUUUUUCUAGUUUAGCAAAUUAAAUAUCCCACUUGCUUCAUUGGUUUGGAUAAGGGCUAGCUUCAUACAAGCCCCCAACUUAUAACCAAUUCUCGAUUGGGACCUUAUUGUUUUCUUUAGUGACGUCUUUAAUGCAUAAAACAUUCUUAGUUUUGCCUUGUAUUCAAAUCCGUCGAUGAUUUCUAUUUAAAAGCUGUUUUUUGAAAAAAAAAAUAAAGAAAAGAGAGAACUGGACAUCUUUUAAAAGUUUGUAACAAUCUUACAUGAAAGGACUAAAUUGAGGAUUGUCAUAGAAUGAUGUGUUAAUUUAAGAGCUUUACCCACUAGUUGCGGAUAACACAAAUUGCCACUGAUGAAUCCCACGGCAUAUGUUCAUAUGCAAUGCCUAUGAAAACACGACUUGCUUACACAAGCAACAAACAUCACAUAAAUUUCUCUCUUGGCCACACGAUUCUUGGACUUUUGGCUUAUUCAUCAACACCAGUUGUUCAAUGGUCCCAUUAAUUCAAUAACCACUGAAAUUUCUAAGGAAUGCUCAAUAUUUUCUCUCUAUAAUCUCAUCCAAGGCCUUCGUGAAAGACACAACGGGGAGACUUUAGCCAUCAAAAAGCUAAGUCUACGUAUAAUUUUCCACNNNNNNNNNNNNNNNNNNNNNNNNNNNNNNNNNNNNNNNNNNNNNNNNNNNNNNNNNNNNNNNNNNNNNNNNNNNNNNNNNNNNNNNNNNNNNNNNNNNNGUAUCAGUUUGUCAAUAGGACUCAUAUGGUCAGGUAGGUGCCCGCGGGAAAUUUUCCACUGCAACUUAUUGGACAAUUCUUGAUUCCUUGCAGUCAAUCUGGGAAGCCUUUCGGCUGUCUUUUACACGUUAAAAUUUAGUGGGAGGAUAUUCUCGUAGAGACUGGAAAUGUCUUGGCACGGAUUUGGACUAACACGAAUCACUAGCACAUGUACAUUUCAUGGCCUAGCUAAAAAUUGCCAUCAAAGUCACUAUUAUCUCGAGAAGUAGUAGAAUUUCCUAGGCUUCACGCUGCUACCUUUUGAUUUGGCAAAAUUUUGUUCAAUUUAAUUCAUUAAAAAUAAUUGAAACUUCCAAGAUCAAAUAUGAUAUUGAAACCAGAAAGUAGCCUAGGUGUGUUUUUUAAAAUUUUGAUCCCUAAAGUUUUUGCAUUUUGCAUUUUGAUUUUGAUUUUUAAUUUUGAUCUAAAAUUUUAUUUUAUUUACUUUUUAGUUCAUGAAUAUGAGAUUAAAAAAAUCACCGAAAAACUUGAAAAAAGAUAGAAAGUUAUUGGUUGAUAAUUUCCGGACAAAAAAAAAGAGAUCUUUGUAUUAAUGGAGAAUUGAUGUGCAGAUUGGAUAGCAAAUCAUAAGGGUAUGUUUGAAAUUAUAGUAGUGAUUGCGAUUCAAAGUAUUUUUCGUUUAGAAAUGUUUUAAAAUAAUAUUUUUAUUUUUAAAAAAUUAUUUUUGAUAUCAGCAUAUUAAAACGAUCUGAAAAUAUAAAAAAAUAAUUUUUUAUUUUUUAAAAUUUUAAAAUUUAAGAGAACGCAUUUUGCACCGCGUUCCCAAACAGACCCCGGUAGAUCUUGAAGUUUCCUACUGCACUGAAGCUCCCUCUUGUUGUUUGAAGCAAAUGCUUGAUUGCGUUCCUGGGGUUUCUACCCCCAGAAUAUGAAGUUAUUUCCUAAUGAAGGCUUUCUGCCCUCUCUCUAAUAAACUGAAAAACGGCAACAUUCAUUUUCUAGCCCAGCAGUGGUUCCUCUAGCCUUCUGCUAUCUGCCUAGCUGUGAUAUAAAACAAUUUGAGUCCAUAUUUGAAGGGAUAGCUGUUUCUUCAAUCUAUUUGGACAGUAUAUCAUCUUCUGCUGCUGUGAUUAUUAAAGCCUUGUCAAUAAUUACAGAUUAUAGCAUCCACGAGGAUGACGUUCCUUCAAUUUUUCUCUACAGUCAAUCUUUUUCCUUGACAAGCACAGGCAGGCAAUAUUAGUGGUAAAAUUUGGGAUGUUAUAUUCCUUGACAAGCACAGGCAAUAUUAUUGAUUCAACUUUCCAAAAUGUAUUCUUUAGCCACCACAAAGCUUCACACACACACGAGUGUGGUUCAAAGUAAAAGUUAAAGAUAAGAGCAUAUGUAAUUUUUUUAUUUUUAAACAUUUAUUUUUAACAUUAAAAUAUCAUAACAAUUUAAAAAUAUUAAAAAAAUUAAUUUUAAAUAAAAAAUAUCAAGUUUUUUAAAAAACAUGAUUCGACUGUGAAAUUAUUAUUAUUUUUGUCAGGGUGUUGGUUGUUCUAGGUAGGGCCGGAAAGGUCACGGAAUGGAGAGUCACUGAGAAGUGAUAACCAUUAACCAUGACAUGGCUCAAAUGAGUGAGGCUAAUUAAAAGUUUGUAAAAUUGUAUCAAUUAACUGUUUGUAAUUAAUAUUUUUGAAUUGUUUUUACGUGACAAUAUAAAAAAUAAUUUUUUUAAUAUAUUUUUAAAUAAAAAAUAUUUUUUUAAAAAAAAAACCUUCAGACAAUGCAGAAAUAUGCUAUUCUUUCUCGUAUUCAUGUGUUUACAUUUUCUUGGCAGCUUCUUCGAAGUGUCAACAUUGGGGCGGGUCCACACGUUAACUUUCUAUAUCUUAUAAUUAAUUAAUUAACUGUCUAUUAAUGUAAAGUUUGGGUUGCUUCCUGGCAACUUCCUUCCUUCCUAUCAAACAAUACGUUAAUUAAUUAAUUAUUAUUGAGGCGACCUUACUAAUAAAUAAUAGUAUGUAAGGGAGCUAGCGGCUGUACUGUAACAUUCUCUCUCAUUAUACAAUUCCCUAUUUACCUUCCUUAUUAGGGAAUCCAGCUAGCACUUGAAGAUUCAAACCAUAGUAUGUAUAUGGUUUGAAUCUUUAAAGUAAUCCAUCAUAAAUAAAUCGAUCUUUUUCACUGAUUUUGUAAUCCAUGCCCUUGUGGUGUUCAUACUAAAUCAACCCUAAACCUUGAAUUCAUUGUUUUUGUCUUUUCAAGAUUCUUUGCUGUUUUUAACUCCUUAUAUAUGGGAUUUCUUUUCCAAUACUAGAUUUUGUAAUCCAUGCCCUGUGGGACUGCCAUUAAUUAUUUUUAUCCAAUAUUUUUCUGACAUAAUGAUUCAAUGAAAUUGUCUCUUACUGAUUCAUGAAUUAACUUCAUCAGUAUUAAUUACCUUUCAUUAAACUUGUUUACAACAAGUGACAAAUAAUUUAGCAACAUUUAUAUUUCCUAUUUUUCAUCCGAAUUUCUUUAACAAAUAAAUAAGUCAUGUAUAUAUAUAUUCUUAUCUAAUCUGCGCUUUCUGUUCUUUUUUAAACCUCAGAUGGAAGGAGUCCCACCGUCUUGUAAUGAGGAUGAUGUCAACUUGACAUCGAAUCAGUUCGAUAUUCAAUCACCAGAAGAUUCAUUCAAUAUAUCUGAGCUUCUCUCGUACGUCAUUCUUAAGCAUAUUUUAUCAGAAGAUGAUUACUUGCAAUUUAGUUAUUCUACAGUUUUUCUUAUUAUUCCCAUAAAAGAAUAAUGUUCCUAAUAACAAAUUAAGCAGGUCGCCACCGGAGGUUCCAGGCAACCAAAGCUUCAUGUUAUGCAAUGUUCAUGCUGGUCAGAACAUGGUGGUGGAUAACAAUGUGAUCAACGAUAGUAUUCAACAAACAACUGAUCAGUUUCCACCUUCAUUUCAUCAAACCAUGGUGAGUGCUCAUGCCUACUCCAAUUUGCUACAAUGUCCAUUGAAUUAGCAAGUGUUUGUAUCACCCAUUGGAUCAAAAAGUUUUAUGUUUUCGUGUAUUAAUUUAUCUCGAGCAUCUUCAAAAUGUUUAUUGUUAAACAAACAGACAACAAUGGGAGAUUUAGAUGGAACAUCAUCGUCAUGGAUCAACCAAAAUGAACCAAAUUGGCCUCAAGCUCCACCAAGGUACAUAAUAUUCAUCAUUAUUUAACUUCUUCUUCCUGUUCACACUAAAUGAAUUCAUUAUAUUUGAAUAUAGGUGUUAGCCUAAUCCUAAUUUAUUUGAUCCUCAAUGUGCCAAUCCUUUGAGGUAAGCUAAAAUGAUAUCAAAUGCUUAGUGGAUUAAUAGCAAAGAAUUAUGCCUAUGUAUAAAGAAAUUACUAACAAGUGUUGCUAAUUUAGGGACCAACAAUUGACUAAUUAUCAGUUACCAAUUAUGAGCAAUCAAGUGCCUGCAAUGCUACCUGGACCUCAACCUCCAAUGAAUCAAUGGUAUUAACCUCGAAUAUAUAUACACUUUUUUAAUCAUGAAAAUAAUAAAAUUGACCAAAAUUGACGAGGAUCUUUCGAGUCUUUCUGAGCUCUCUAUCUCUCUUCUUUUUUUGUGCACAUAAUGGAACUAGAAAAUCAACCAAGUUAGAAUAACAGUUCUAAGUUUAACUAUUUGAAUAUUAUUCAGGCAUCAGUACUCCAAUAUUCAUCAACCACAGCCGGGACAUGGCUAUAUGACACCGAACGCAACCACUUCAGAACAUGGUGGCUUCAUUCAACCUGGACCUUCUUUUCCUGCUCCCCGGUAUCCAAUUUUUCACGUUUAGUAUUUUCUAUAAAAAAAAAAUAGUUUUUCAAUCAGGAAGGAAACAUCAUAGCUUGAACAUGAACCCAACAAGCUAAACAUAUUGUUUGCAAAUGAUUUUGGAUUCAGGAGUCAAUAUUUUUCUAAUCAAGGACAAGUCGAUCAAGCUGCUGUAAUUCCUAACAUAGACAAUGUGCAACAAGAGAACUUCGUGCCUAGGUACUGAUUGACUUCUAGCUGUUGUGUUUUAACACCAUUAACUUUUACUGCUUAAGAGAGACUACCAAUUAUGGAAAGGUUUUAUAAUAUGAUCACUUCAUUUAUAUAUAGGUCACAGAUGGAUAACCUCCAAGUUCGAGGAUUGCAAAAUCAAACUGCUAGGCCAAAUGCCUCAAAUCCCGGCCUUGGCACUUCCCUGCAAAGUCAAAAUAGGGGUUUAAAUGCUCAACAAGUAAGAAGUCUAACUGAAUUAUCGUCGUCUUUUUCCCUCCUAUGAUUGUGCAAUAAACUAACUAUCAAUUUUAAUAGCAAAGUAAGGGUAACAGCACUGAAGAAGUAGUUUCUCAUCCAUCUGGAUAUGGUGUAACUUGCAUCAAUUUUUAUUCUUUAUUUUGACUGAUUUUUAUUCUAUAUUUUGACCCCCCUUUUUUUUUCCCUAUAUAUAGGUUGAAAUGGGUGGAUUAUAUGAUCCAUUUUGGAAUUAUGUUGAAAAAAGUGCUGAUGAUGGUAGCAUGAAGUGUAAGUUUUGUCCACAUACAUACGCCAUUAAAACUUCCAUUUCAAGGAUCAAAUGGCAUUUAUCAGCAGAAGAAGGGCAUGGUGUUGCCAUUUGUCGUGGGGUGCCUAAAGAAAUUCAAGAAGCAGCCUGGAAAGCUAUGUGUGGUGGCAACAAAAGACAUAAAAGCACAGCAAGUUCAGUCAAUGUUAAUGACUGUGGAAUUUCAACAAUGGUAGGAGGUAUUGGAAGGGUACAAAGAGAAGUUCAGGUUGUAGAACCCGGAGUAGGGGAACAGAGGAUUUCUUCACAUGCAAUAGCAGGAAACGACGUAGUAAGCAUGACCGGAACGAGAGCACGAGAAGAUAGAGUUUCCAAAGGGGCACUCGAGAGCAGACGGAGGACAGAACUAGUGGAUCGAGCGUUGGAACAAAACACUGGUGAAGGAUCUUUUCGGCAUGAUGCAUUUGAGACUGUACCAAGAACAGAGCAAGAGCAGCUUCUGGAGCCUCGAGGAGAUGCAUCCCAAUUUUGUCUUGACUCUGGAAUAUGUUAUGAUCAACCUUGUGCUCCAUCAGUAAACAAUGAUGUAAAUAGGCAUGAUGCACAGGACAUGGUUAGAGUGAGGACACAACCAGUGGAGAAUAGUGGAAGAUCAGUAGUGCAGGCUGGCCCAGGAGCUAGAUCUUCUGAAAGUCUGAAAAACAACAAGACUAGAGGAGUUCCAUUACCUACUAGCUCUAUAAAGGUGGGUCAAGCAUUUGAAGAGAAUAAGAAGGUGAUAUGGUCUUCGUUAAUGGAUGAUGAAGUCCCAACCAUUGGCAUUUAUGGGAUGGGAGGAGUUGGUAAAACAACAAUAAUGCAACAUAUUUAUAAUGAGCUUCUACAAAGACCAGAUAUUUGUGAUCAUGUGUGGUGGGUGACUGUGUCUCAAGAUUUCAGCAUUAAUAGAUUGCAGAAUUUUAUUGCUAAACAUCUUCAUCUAGAUCUUUCAAGCGAAGAUGAUGUUCAGCUCAGACCUGCCAAAUUGUCAGAAGAACUAAGGAAGAAACAAAAAUGGAUUCUCAUUUUAGAUGAUUUGUGGAACAAUUUUGAACUUGACAGAGUGGGAAUUCCUGAGAAGUUGAAAGAAUGCAAGCUGAUUAUGACAACUAGAUUAGAAAUGGUUUGUCAUCAGAUGGCUUGCCACCGUAAAAUCAAAGUGAAGCCACUUUCUGAUGGAGAAGCUUGGACUUUGUUCAUGGAGAAACUUGGAUGUGACAUAGCACUUUCGCGAGAAGUGGAAGGGAUUGCAAAAGCUGUUGCAAAGGAAUGUGCUGGUUUGCCGUUGGGAAUUAUUACAGUAGCAAGAAGCUUGAGGGGAGUGGAUGACCUACAUGAGUGGAGAAAUACAUAGAAGAAAUUGAAAGAAUCAGAAUUUAGAGACAAUGAAGUAUUCAAGUUAUUGAGGUUUAGUUAUGAUCGGUUAGGUGAUUUAGCACUACAACAAUGUCUCUUGUACUGUGCAUUAUUUCCUGAAGAUAAAUGGAUUGCAAGGGAGGAGUUGAUAGGUUAUUUGAUCGAUGAGGGGAUAACUAAAGUAAAGAGGAGAAGGGGAGAUGCAUUUGAUGAGGGCCACACGAUGCUUAAUAGACUUGAAUAUGUCUGCUUAUUGGAAAGUUCUUUUAAUCAUAUACAUGUCAAGAUGCAUGACUUGAUUAGGGACAUGGCUAUCCACGUACUGCUAGAGAACUCUCAAGUCAUGGUUAAAGCAGGUGCGCAAUUAAAAGAGCUGCCAGAUACAGAGGAGUGGACGGAGAACCUGACGAUUGUUUCACUAAUGAAGAACGAGAUCGAAGAAAUUCCUUCCAGCCAUUCACCAAUGUGUCCAAAUUUGUCAUCUCUAUUUUUAUGUGAGAAUAAAGAGCUGCGAUUGAUUGCGGAUUCAUUUUUCAAGCAAUUACAUGGGCUCAAGGUCCUCGAUCUGUCUCGCACAGGUAUUGAAAAUUUGCCAGACUCUGUCUCUGAUUUGGUGAGUCUCACUGCAUUAUUGCUCAAUGAUUGUACGAGAUUAAGACAUGUUCCAUCAUUAAAGAAGCUCAGGGAACUAAAGAGGUUGGAUCUCUGUGGCACUGCACUUGAAAAGAUGCCGCAAGGAAUGGAAUGCCUAACCAACCUGAGGUAUCUUAGAAUGAAUGGAUGUGGUGAAAAGGAGUUUCCUAGUGGGAUAUUACCAAAACUCUCUCACCUGCAAGUCUUUGUACUAGAACAGUUUACGGCGCGAGGUGAUGGUCCAAUAACAGUUAAAGGAAAGGAAGUAGGAUCCUUGAGAAAUUUGGAAAGUCUGGAGUGCCAUUUCAAAGGUUUCUCUGACUUCGUGGAGUAUCUCAGAUCUUGGGAUGGGAUCCUAUCAUUAAGCACAUACAGAAUUUUAGUAGGAAUGGUGGAUGAAGAUUAUUCGGCAUACAUUGAAGGUUAUCCGGCAUACAUUGAAGAUUAUCCAAGUAAAACAGUUGCGUUGGGUAAUUUGAGUUUCAAUGGAGAUAGAGAUUUUCAGGUCAAGUUCUUAAAAGGCAUUCAAGGACUGAUUUGUCAAUGCUUCGAUGCAAGAAGUUUAUGCGAUGUUUUGUCAUUAGAGAAUGCAACUGAACUGGAGCGUAUCAGAAUUGAGGAUUGCAAUAACAUGGAGAGCUUGGUUUCAUCUUCUUGGUUCUGCUAUGCUCCACCACCAUUGCCAUCAUAUAAUGGUACGUUUUCUGGUCUUAAAGAGUUUAAUUGUUGUGGAUGUAACAAUAUGAAGAAGUUGUUUCCACUUGUGUUGCUGCCAAACCUCGUAAACCUGGCAAGGAUUGAUGUUAGUUAUUGUGAGAAAAUGGAGGAGAUAAUAGGAACAACAGAUGAAGAAAGCAGCACCUCCAAUCCCAUCACAGAAUUAAUACUCCCAAAGUUAAGAACUCUGAAUUUGUGUCAUUUACCAGAAUUGAAAAGCAUUUAUAGUGCAAAACUUAUUUGCAAUUCUCUUAAAGAUAUUAGGGUAUUGCGUUGUGAGAAGCUGAAGAGGA